RNAcentral lists this long non-coding RNA (75760 nucleotides) under Triticum aestivum (bread wheat). RNAcentral describes it as "long non-coding RNA (TAES_LNC000646)". Lineage: Eukaryota; Viridiplantae; Streptophyta; Magnoliopsida; Poales; Poaceae. The record is from RNAcentral.
AGCAGGUGAACAGAAGAAAAACACAUGUACUAUUAUCGGUGUUCAUUAUUACUCUGAUCUUUCUUUUUCUUCUUCUUCUUGUUUGAUGACAGCAAGGUAGUGUGCUUAAUUUCCACGUGUAAUUUUUUUUACUGUCGACGCCUGUACUUUUGUGGUGAUUGCAGUAGCUUUGUGGGUGUUUUCAUUUUUCUCUCUUCUUUUUCCCCCCUAUAAGUUGGACCUCCUGUUCUUUGCCCUAUGGCUGUGGUUAUUAUUAUCUACACGAUCUGUGGCCGUUUGCUUGUAACCAGAUGGGAGAGCCCCUCCUGAUUAAAAACUGUGUAGCCCCUUAUGGUAAGCUGAUGUCACUCAUUAUCAUGCACCUGUACUACUAUAAUGUAAUGUGAUGUGAUGUUACCAGUGGGUGAUAAACCCUAAUACUAUAACUAACCAUCAUGCUUGUUGGCAUGAGCUGCUGUUGGCUAUUCUAAUCAUGUCUGUUGGCAUAAAGCGUAGCAUUCACAUGCCUGCUGCUGGCAUUCUAACCAUGUCUGUUGAGAGAGGGCAGCACUCAUGUUGGUUGCCAUGUUGGCCAUCCCAUCCAUGGUUUGUUUUUCCAACGGUUGAGAUGGAUUGAUCUGAUUUGGCUUUAUAUUUUGUAGUAUUAUUUACUUACUUUUUGGGUGUGGUUGGACCCUCCUAAUCUUGGUUGCUUGGGAAGGUGGCAUCGACCGAAUCAGGUGCGUGGAAAAGAAAUGACAAUGAUGUAUUUUUAUGUUGUAGGUGGUACAACUGGCUAAAAUAGCUGUGAUUUCAUAAUGGUGCUAGAUGGGGGCUGGCUGGCUGGCUGGCUGGGUUUUGUCACAUGCACCCAUGUGGCCUUUAACUGUUGCAUAAUUGCAUCCUGGCUGGGGUGUAAAGUAUCAAAUGAAAUGGGAGCAGCAUUCAUUCCCAGUGUUUCUAUUAUUAUUUUUCCUUCAGAAUUAUGGAAUUUUAAUAAUAAUAAUAAUAAUAAUCUGAUGCGUGUUUUGGACUGCCUAGUGAUUUUCUGCUGGGUAUGUGUGUGAACAAGCUCUGUCUUGUAAUAUCAACAUAUAUGCAUCUGCAGGAGAGGAAGCAGCUGUCUAAAUUUUUUUUCUCAUAUUUUUUAUUUUUCUUAGAACAAAACAACACCUUAUCUGUUUCCAUCAGCUUUAACUUGCUACUGACACCAAAUCUGUAAAAGAAAAAGGAAAGGAAAAAAAGAGGGGGGAAAAAGAAGACGAAAGCACAAACUAAGCCCACGGCCCAUCUCAGAGCUACUUCUGGCCCAACGUCGUGCACUUGCCGCCCGACGUGCCGAGCACGAGCAGCAGCACAGGCCGCGCCCAGGACAGCACACACCCCCGGGGACCCACACCUCAGAGACUUAGACCUCCCCGAGCCCUGCACCAUGCCAUUGCCACCACUUCUCUGCCACUACCACCUACUGCUCGCUUCCGUUCUUCUGCCAAUCAAGCAGAAUCGGCAUCUCCGCAGGAACAUUGCUACGAAGUAUUCAACUCCUGCUCCCCCCCUUCUCCUCCUGUUCUUCUUCCUCUCCGCCGCCGCCGUCUCGUUCAUCUUCUUCCAAAGAUGACAUACGUCCCCAUGGCAAAUGCAGGCAAUGUGCAUUGCUGACCUUCCAGUUCGAGUCCUGCGUGCAACAGGACUGAUGAUCAGCAGGGACGCAUUCGUGAUCAGGUCUUGUGUGCGCUGGAGGCGAAGGUGAACCAGGGAGGGAGUUUGGAGGAAGAGGAGGGGCUAGGUGGCUAACCGGCGGCUGGAGAAGCGCGGCGGAGGAGAGGCGGGAUGCUGCAGCGGGCGGCGAGCAACGCCUACUCGUGGUGGUGGGCGAGCCACAUCCGCACCAGGCAGUCCAAAUGGCUCGACAGCAACCUCCAAGGUCCGUUCGUCUUCUUCACGCCGCGCCACCCAUACACGCGCCUAGAUCUCGUUGCUUGCUUGGCACAUCUUUGAUCAUUUUCCCUGGUCAGAACUUUGCAUGAUGUCCUGCAGAGUUUGACAAAUGAAGUAGUGUUUCGUAUAUGGUCAGUUGCUUCAUGAUUGUGUUAUGGUAGUUGCAGCAAAAGAUGUGCUUUGUAUCACCAUUAUGGGCCAAGAAACACAUAGAUUACGUAAAGAAAUAUAGGCUACAUCACUGUCAGGUGAUCAUGAAAUUUAUGCAUGGCUCGGGUUAGCAGAAAUGUAUCACCGGUUGACAGAAAAGAUAUGUGACGAUGUUUGGUCACUCGGAUAAAGAAAUACUGUGCAUAUAUACAGUUAAAUUCCCUGCCCAAAAAUUGAUGCACCAUUCGGGUCGUUAAGGAUUGAAACAUAUACAGAAAUUAAGUGGACAAGCUGAAACCACUUGGAUAGCAACCCAGCAGUACUGCUUUGGUCUCAACAUUUCUUUAAUCAGAGUACCAUGAAACAUGCCAUAAGCAAAUUUCAGCAAUUCUGCACUUGCAAUUGGACACCAGCGCCUGUUCUGAAAAUAGGGUUGAAUUUCGCUGUUAUGUAACCAAGUACCUGUUUAACGCUACUAUAUUUUUGGUUGAACACUGAGCGAUUGCCUUUGAUGUGCAGAUAUGGAAGACAGGGUCAAGUGCAUCCUCUUACUCCUGGGAGAGGAAGCAGAUUCUUUUGCAAAGAGGGCGGAAAUGUAUUACAAGAGGCGACCAGAGGUGAUCAGCUCCGUGGAAGAAGCGUACCGGGCAUACAGAGCCCUUGCAGAACGCUAUGACCACAUGUCAGGAGAGCUACACAAAGCAAACCACACUGUUGCAACUGCCUUCCCUGACCAGGUUCAGUAUUCUAUGCUGGAAGAGGACGAUGACAGUCUCCCGAAGGCGUUCACGACGGUUGAUCCUCGUAAAAUCCACAAGUCAACGGUGGAAGGGCUGAUGAAUAAGAAGAAAGGAGGGAAGCCAGGACUGAAGGACGGAGGAAAGAGUCGUGCAGCACCGGCCAACAAGGAGAAUGCGCAAAAGGAGAUCAGCAGGAUGCAGAAAGAGAUAUUGGUGCUGCAGACUGAGAAAGAGUUCAUCAAGAGCUCUUACGAGAGUGGAAUCGCAAAGUACUGGGAUCUUGAAAAGCAAAUCAACGACAUGCAUGAAGAAGUCUGCUACUUCCAGGAGGAGUUCAACGAAAGCGUGGUGAUCGAAGAUGAUGAGGCCAGAGCUUUGAUGACAGCAACUGCUCUUAAAUCUUGUGAAGACGCCAUCGCCAGAUUGCGGGAACAGCAGAGGUUAUCGUUCAGCCAAGCAAUGGUUGAGCUGGAAAGGGCCAGUGUUUCCAGAGAGAAACUGAAGAAUAUCAUGAAAGAGCAUGGUAAGUUCAUAUCAGAUUCAGGAAACUCUCAUUACGAGAAUGUGAGAAACGAUGCCAGCGUUAAGAUGGAUGAUCUGUACUCUAUGAAGCAGGAGAAAAUUGGAAUGGAAGCAAUAGUAGAUAAGAUCAAGGAAUACUUUCAGAAAGACACUGAUAUUUCUGUGGCAGAGAUUGCAGAGAGAAUUGAUGACAUGGUCAAUAAAGUUGUGGACUUGGAACUCAUGGUUUCAUCACAGACUGCUAAGAUAGAUAGGCUGUGUCUGGAAAACACAGAGCUGGAGAUGUCACUGCAGGAACUGGAGGGAGAGAAGGCUAUAGCAACCAGUGGCUCAAAUGAAUUGAAUGACAAGCUAGAGAAGGCAGAAGAUGAGCUGAUGAGAGUGCAGUACCUUGAAAGCUCCUUCCAUGCAGAAGAAAGCAUAGUCCAUUCGAAUUUCACUGAAACGGCAAGUAGCUUCUGUUGUAUUACAGACUUGUUGCAGUCACCUCCUGUUGAGCACCAAGGUGGUUCUGUGCCCAUGCUGACUCAUGAAGCGGCACCCAUUGCUGACACUGAAUCAUCUGAUGAGUGCGAGAAAACAGAACCUGAAGAAGAUCCUCAGAUGGAUAAAGCUACAAUAAAGCCUGACAUAGAUGAACUCCCUGAUUGUUCCAGUAAACUGGAGCUAGCUACGGUCAGUGAUAACUGUCACCAUGACAUCAAGGAAGAAAGGCAAUACUGCGCAGAUGAUUUGGAGGAUUUGUGGGAUUGCGGGCUUGAAAGAAAGUCCAGCUUUGCAGUUGCAUCUGUAAAUAAGGAAACAGCAGAAAAUGUUAUUACAGAUAUGUUGCACUCACCUCUCACUGAGCACCAAGCUGGUUGUGUGCCCACACUGGCUGAUGAAGCAACACCAUCCGCUGACACCGAACCAUCUGGCGAGUAUGAGAAAAUAAAACCAGAAGAAGAUCCUCUGAUGAAUAAAGCUACAAGAAAGCCUGACAUAGAUGGACUCCCUGAUUGUUCCAGUAAGUUAGAGCUAGCUACAGUCAAUGAUAACUCUCACCAGUCUAACUGUUACAAUGACAUUAAGGCAGAAAGGCAUGACUGCACAGAUAAUUUGGAGGAUUUAUGGGAUUGUGGGUUUGAAAGAAAUGCUAGCUUUGCAGUUGCAUCGGUGAAUAAGGAAACAGCUGAAAAUCCAGACAAUGAUACUACAGAUAUGUUGCAGUCACCUCUCACUGAGCACCAAGCUGGUUAUGUGCCCACAAUGACUGAUGAAGCAACACCACCCGCUGACACUGAACCAUCUGGCGAGUGUGAGAAAAUAAAACCAGAGGAAGAUAAUCAGAUGGAUAACAAUACACAAAAGCUUCACAUAGAUGGAUUUCUGGACUGGUGUGGUAAGUCAGAGAUAGCUAUCAUCAGUGCUGAUUCAGAGGAUUUCGGUAAAUCUAGCUUUGCAGCUGCAUCAGUAGAUAAUGGCACAGCAGCAAAUGCAGAUAACAGUACAUCUGGUGAACAUAACAAUACAGAAGUGAAAUAUAAUCAUGGAGCCAUUGGCAGCAACAUGCAACCAUAUGUUGUACAUUCCCAUGAGCAAGGUUCAGUAGAUCGAUUGCAUCAAAAUUCACCUGAAGUCUCAUGGGAUCACGACCUAAAACAAGUGGAUGGCAAGCAAGAUUCAUUGACAGUGGUUCAUAGCACUUUCGGAGGCCACUCAGAACAAUAUAUGAACAUAGAAGAACGGUUACAAUACUCGCAUUUCACUGAAACUUUCGCUCCUGGCAAUGGGAAAGCUGUUGGUGUUGGAGAUCAAGAGAACAACAUGGCUAAUAUGCAGCAGUUGCUUAUGAGUGGACUCCAAGACAAGGAAAUGGUACUAUUAACCGAGUGCAAGAAAAAAGAAUCAGAACAAGAUCCUCAGAUGGAUAAAGCUACAAGGAAGCCUGAAAUAUAUGGAUUCCCUGAUUGUCCCAGUAACUUGGAGCUAGGAAACAACAGUGACAACAGGCAGCCAUCUAACAGUUACCAUGAAAUUAUGGCAGAAAAGCAUGACAGUGCAGGUGAUUCAGAGGAUUUGUGGUAUUGUGGGCUAGAAAGGAAGUCUAGCUUUGCAGCUGCAACCGUAAAUAAGGAAAAGGCAGAAAAUGCAGACAAUGAUGCAUUUGGUGAGCAUAAAAAUAAAGGAGUGAAAUAUGUUCAUGACAUUGUUAGCGACAAUGGCAGCAGCAUGCAACCCUAUGUUUUUCAUUCCCAUGAGCAGGGAUUAGUAGAGCGAUUGUAUCAUGUUUCAUCUGAAGUCCCAGCAGAUCAUCAUGUGAAGUCAGAGGACGACAAGCAAGAUUCAUCAACAUCUUGUCAUAGCAUUUCCAAAGGCCACUCAGAACAAGAGAUGAAGAAAGCAGAAGAGUCAGAAGACGCACCUACCACUGAAAAUUCAAUUCCUGGCAGUGAAAAGGCUGUUGUUGUUAGAGAUCAAGAGGAGAACAUGGCUAAUCUGCAGAAAUUGCUUAUGAGUGGACUCCAAGACAAGGAAAAGGUACUACUGACCGAGUACACUUCUAUCCUCCGAAAUUACAAAAAUGCAAAGAGAAGGCUUACAGAAGUGGAGAUAAAGAAUCAGGAAUGUUUGGAUGAGAUGAAAGCCAUGAUGAGCGAACUGCGCUCUGCCAAUGAAUUGAAGGACAAGGAGAUUCGGUCACUGCGUGAACUCCUGAACUCUUCCACUGACAAAGAUGCACAGCACAAUGGCCAUCAUCAAAUGAAUACAUACACGUCCUUGAGUAUCAAGAGUGGGUCCUUCAGGGGGCACCGAAGGAUCCCAAGCUUUUUGCCUGGUCAUCAAAGGAGACAAAGCGCUUCUUCGAGUUCGAGGAUAAUCAUGAAUAAUUCUAGUCCCAAGAACAAAGAUGAUGCAUCACAUGAUGCUGUUUUCGAGCCAGAAAGAAUCGGUAUGGGUGACAUCAAAUUAACUAAUAUUCUUGAGAUGCAGAAUGCCUCACCUCUUGAGGACAAGUUCAGAAGAGACAUCGAUGGGCUUUUGGAGGAGAACCUAGAGUUCUGGAUGAAGUUCAGCACAUCAUUCGAAAAGAUUCUAGAAUUGCAGACCAAGCAUGAUCAGCUGCAAUCAGAGAUUGGCAAGCAAACAAACGAGGACAAGCUCAAGGAAAACAGCGGUGGCACAAGUGAUCCCCUUGCAAAAGCUGAACCCGAAACCAUAGAGAAGCGGCUAAGGGAACUUACGAUUGAAAUGCAAGUAUGGCUGGAACAGAACGCUAUGUUCAAAGGGGAGCUCCAGUGCAGGUUUGCUUCCCUCUGCGGUAUACAAGAGGAAAUCCAGGCAGCAAUGGAGAUGGAUGCAGAGACUGUGGAAGGAAUUCAAUUCACUUCAUACCAUGCUGCCAAAUUCCAAGGGGAGAUCUUGAGCAUGAAGCAGGAGAACGACAAGGUUGAGGAUGAACUGCAGGCCGGCUUAGAUUAUAUAAGAGGGCUACAAGAAGAAAUCGAAAAGAUCCUGGCAAAGAUACUGAAGAGCACUAGCUUAUCUGGGUCGAAAGGCAGCAGCCCUUGGAGGAAUGCGCCCUCUAAGUCACGAGUGCCGCUCCGGUCAUUCCUCUUCCCAGCCAAGAAAAAGAAACCAUCGCUGUUGGCAUGCAUGAAUCCGGCACUGCAGAAGCAGUACAGUGACAUGGCAUUCUUCGCUAAAAUGGAAUAGGUAAACCCUGGCUGCCUGUUCUUAUGCGUUAAUGGCUAUACUUUCAGCUAAUGUUGUUCUUCCUAUGAGUUGAUGGACUAACAUGCUGUAUAGGUAAUCAGGCCUUCAGGAUGGAACCAAAUUCAUCACACACGGAGCCAGAUGAACUGUGAGGCAAAUAUGAUUAUCAGGUUGUAUCAGGCAGCUUCGUUCGGCUAAUUACAAGCCUCCCACAACAUAUUUAAGGGAGAAACUAGGGUUCACAUUUAGCUAUUUCUUUUCAGGGGACAUACAUAUAUAUACUUUUGUCAAUAAUUUUUUCAUGCACUAUGGCAGUGAAUUUCUCAUUAUUUUAGCUACAAAAGGCAGGAAUUUUAUCUGUGUGAUUUAUGAGAUGAGCUGCACGAUUGGUUUGAGCCUGCCAUAGUGCCGUUCAACAAGGAUGAAAACACACGCAUUCCGAAACCUCUGUAAUGUGGCGCCAUUAAAGCAGUCACGAAAUGCGCUAUAUCUUUGCUUGUGCUUCGAUUUCUAAACGUAGGUAAUCGUGAGUUCUUUCAUCUCCGGAUGAUAGAGCAAGAAGGACAUAUAGCAUCAAUGGUAAUCGAACGAAAUGGAGCAAAGAUGGGUAUAAUAGUGAUCCUUACCGGCUUUGGACUCUUUCUCAUGUCGCUGCGCAGCGUUGGCCGCGGCCGCAUUCCGUCGAGCAGGUCGCGGGCACCCGGCGAGGCAGCCCCAUUCUUACUCUUCCUCCUCUCCCCAAGACGGCGACGCGCUUAGUCCAGGCACCCCCCAUUCCACGCGGCAGAGGCGCGUAUGGCGCCCCGAGACGCGCCCACCUCCACGGCUGGGGAGGUCGCCCAGCUCGCAAAACCGGACCCCUCUUCCCCUUCCCAUCUCCGUCUCCCUAGAGCUUCGUUUUGGUUUUUCCUAGCUCGACCUCCGCGGGUUUUUCCCAUCUCCGUCUCCUAGAUGUCCCUGUCUGCCUGUUCUUAUAUGCAUUAAUGGCUAUACUUCCAGUUAAUGUUGUUCUCCCUAUGAGUUGAUGGACUAACACGCUGUAUCGGUAAUCAGGCCUUCAUGAUGGAACCAAAUUCAUCACACGGGGAGCUAGAUGAGCUGUGAGGCAAAUAUGAUUAUCAGGUUAUAUCAGGCUUCAUUCAGCUAAUUACAAGGCUCCCACGGCAUAUUUAAGGGAGAAACCAGGGUUCACAUUUAGCUGUUUCUUUUCAGAGGGCAUGAAUUCAUACUUACUUUUGUCAACAAUUUAUUCAUGGCAGUGAAUAUCUCAUUAUUUUAGCUACAAAAGGCAGGGAUUUAAUCUGUGCAACUUAUGGGAUCAGUUGCAUGACUGGUUAAGGACGAGCAACACACGCAUUCCGAAACCUCUGUAAUUCGAUUUCUUUGCUAGUGCUUAAUUCGAUUUCUAAAUGUAGGUGAUCGUGAGUUCUUUCAUCUCCGGAUGAUAGAAGAGUAAGAAGGACAUCGCAUCAAUGGCAGUCCAACAAAACGGAGCAAAGAUGGGUGUAGUAGUGAUCCUUACCAGCUCUGGACUCUUUCUCACGUCGCCGCACGGCGUUGGCCGCUGCCGCAUUCCGUCGAGCAGGUCACGGGCACCGGGCGAGGCAGCCCCAUUUCUACUCUUCCUCCUCCUCUUCCCACGACGGCGACGCGCGCAGCCCUCACCACCCGCCCGGCAGAUGCGCGCGUGGCGCCCCGAGCCGCGCCCACCUCCACGGCGGGGGGGAUCGCCCAGCUCGCAAAACCGGACCCCUCUUCCCCUUCCCGUCUCCGUCUCCGUCGAGUUUCGUUUUGGUUUUUCCUAGCUCGAUCUCUGUGGGUUUGUUCGUGAUCUCGACUGAUGGGGCUGGCUUACUUUGUGAGAACCGCGAUCCUUGCUUGUUCGUCGUGGGCUCGCAAUAGGUGUCAGGACCCAAGCCACUGCUCGUCCGAAGAUGACUGAAGCGGCGUCGACGAAACUGAAGAAGAAGCGAGGUUCAGACAAACAACGGCCCAGAUUGUCUAAAGUGGAAAUGAACGGCUCGGAUGGAUCCUCACCUUCAUUACCGUCUUAGUUCAAAACUAAGCACUUGUUCAUUCUACUAAAGUGAGUGUUUGGUGGAAUUACCACUGCAGUUUGGUGCGGGUUUUACUUGUACCUCGAUCCAGUACUGGAAACCCUAAGAUGUACAACUUGUCUCUCCAGUUUUUUUUUUUGAACAGUCGAGGCUUUGUUCUCCCCACCUGAAUUUGAUCUCGUCCAAACAAAAUUUUGGUCUAUUCCCCUGUUCGAUAAUUCUUGUCGUUUAUGAAACUAAAACCACGAGAAGAAUUUGUUCUACUCAAAUUGAACUAAAAUCACAGCAAGAAUUAUGAAAUGGAUGGAGUAGUUUAUGACGCAAAAACAGAUCAAAAACCUGAACAAAUUGACCCUGUUUAUAAGGGAAACCGGAUCCAAAACCGACUUCUCUCUCCAAUUGAUCAUCAACUUGUUCAAAUGUUCAUGCAAAUUGAGUGAAAUGUGAGGAAAUUCCUCAAUCCAGGUCUCACAAAUCACAAAAUAACAAAUUCAGCCUAGCAAAACAGCAACAACAAGUACCCUACUUCACGAGCUCGAAACACUCACUACACAACUCAAAAAAAUAUAUGGAUGUCACCACUGAAAAGAUGGCAUGAUUUAGUUCAAAACACAUGUAGAGAUCAACCUCAUAGGAUGCACAAACAAAAUGCAACAAAAAUGACAAAUCAUCAAGUUCUGUUAACAGACAGCAAUAAACAUUAUAUAGCACUCUUGCAACGAUGAUUCAGGCAUCAAGAUGACCUCAAACAAAGAUAGCACAAUGGAAUGAAAUUAAGAGCAUCUCAUAAUGAACAUUUUGACAUACAUAUGCAUGAAACAGAGCUACGGAUGCAGAGUUAUGAUGCGAUGAACAGGGCAACAUUAUGCAAAAAUAUUUAGGGACUUGGCCAAAAAUCGGGGUCAACCUUCGGGAUUGGAUCUGGAUCGGGACGGUGCGGUUUCCGAGGUUGACCGGAGCAACCUCGCCGGAGACGGGCGGCCGGCGGCCGGAGAGGGCCGGGGACGGCCGGAGUGGGGGGGGGGAGGCCGGAUCCGAGGCGCUCCUCGCCGGAUCCGGCCGGAGGAGGCGAGGGAGAGGCCNNNNNNNNNNNNNNNNNNNNNNNNNNNNNNNNNNNNNNNNNNNNNNNNNNNNNNNNNNNNNNNNNNNNNNNNNNNNNNNNNNNNNNNNNNNNNNNNNNNNNNNNNNNNNNNNNNNNNNNNNNNNNNNNNNNNNNNNNNNNNNNNNNNNNNNNNNNNNNNNNNNNNNNNNNNNNNNNNNNNNNNNNNNNNNNNNNNNNNNNNNNNNNNNNNNNNNNNNNNNNNNNNNNNNNNNNNNNNNNNNNNNNNNNNNNNNNNNNNNNNNNNNNNNNNNNNNNNNNNNNNNNNNNNNNNNNNNNNNNNNNNNNNNNNNNNNNNNNNNNNNNNNNNNNNNNNNNNNNNNNNNNNNNNNNNNNNNNNNNNNNNNNNNNNNNNNNNNNNNNNNNNNNNNNNNNNNNNNNNNNNNNNNNNNNNNNNNNNNNNNNNNNNNNNNNNNNNNNNNNNNNNNNNNNNNNNNNNNNNNNNNNNNNNNNNNNNNNNNNNNNNNNNNNNNNNNNNNNNNNNNNNNNNNNNNNNNNNNNNNNNNNNNNNNNNNNNNNNNNNNNNNNNNNNNNNNNNNNNNNNNNNNNNNNNNNNNNNNNNNNNNNNNNNNNNNNNNNNNNNNNNNNNCGGCGGGCCGCGGCCGCGGGGACGACGGCGGCGGACAGGUGGCGGCUCCGGAUUGGGCAGGGGCGGCGGCGGACAUGUCCGGGCGGCCGGGGAGAUGUGUCCGACGGCGCAGAGGAAGAGGAGGCUAGGGUUUCAUCCGCGAAUUUCGGGGGAGACACAUAUUUAUAGAUUCUGGGAGCUAGGAGAGUCCAAAUGAGGAGCGGUUUUCGCCCACACGAUCGUGAUCGAACGACCGAGAGCAUGGAGGGGGUUAGGAUGGGUUUUGAGCCACUUUGGAGGGUUGUUUGGCUGCAACACAAAGAGGGCUUUACGGUUACCCGGUUAACCGUUGGAGUAUCAAACGGACUCCAAAUUGCACGAAACUUGACAGGCGGUCUACCGGUGCUAUACCAAGGCCACUUGGCAAACCUCGGGCCAUUCCGAGAAAGUUCAACAUCCGCUCACAACAGGAGAAAAAAGGGGGGACGCCGGAGGACAUAGGAGUGCCGGAUUGCAAAACGGACAACGGGGAAAAUGCUCGGAUGCAUGAGACGAACACGUAUGCAAAACAAUGCACAUGAUGACAAGAUAAAAUGCAACACGGAAGCAAGUGACAUGGCAACGACGGCGAAUAACUGGCGGACACUUGGCGCAUUGAAUCCGGGGCGUUACACCCAAUCCAUAAAGGACAAAUAAUAUAUCAUGCCAAAGGAACAGAAAAAUUUACAGCAGCAAAAAGAACAAUAUACAAUACACUUUAUAGCUGGAAAAACCACAACAACCUCAAAGCCUAGAUAUGCAUCACACUGGUUGAUAUGCAUCACACUGGUUGAUAGACAUGUUUGUUUCAUGUUGUUAUCAUGUCCACCUUACUACUGAACUGGUUUACCAAAAUGAGUUUCAUAUACUACAUUCUAAACCUGUGAUGUGUUUGUUUGUUUUUCUUUUAGAACGCGAAUAAAAUAUUGGAGAAGAGUACCUCGUUAUGCAAUGGUAAAGGAAGUAAUGCAGAUAAGGUUCAAGAUAGUGAGAUAUCCCUGUUGGUCUCCAAGAAAGCUGAUAAAAACUACAUUGAAGACACUGAGACAACCCCAAAGUCCUGUCUUGAUGUAGUGUUCGAGUUACUGGCUAUUACUGCUGGCACCAGCUCUUUGAACUCGUUGUCUAAAUCAGUUCGGCUUCUUGAGUCUCAACUUCAAGUUGAAAGACAUCGAUCAGAUGUUAUGCGACAGGAAGCCGAAGGACCGAGGAAGUCCCUGCAGAAUUCAGAUGCCUACUUUCUGGUGCAACAACAAGUGCUGGAGGAUUUAAGCGCCAAACAAGAGAAAUUUAAUAAGCUUCCUAAGCAUCUUGCCAGCAUUAUGGGUACCCAGGAUAUUGUUUCUUGAGCUCUUCUGGUGUGGUUUCAGUUCUGUACUUGUUGUGCUGCGGCGUUUAUAUGCUGUUGUGUUCCCUAUAUUUGCAUUGGUGGCGAACUUUGAUGCCCAAUGGAUGUAAUAUGUGCAAUAGCCAUGAUAGCCUAGCGUAAGUUGCUUGCUUAUUUAUUUCAUUAUUGUCUUGUUUAUUUUUUUGCUUGUAGCCAGUGUAGUUCUUUUUCCACGGUUUGCUAGUGGCCGCAAUAAUCUAUUUUUUAAAACUAGGCCACAAUAACCAUGGGCUACAUAUUUACUGUAAUUACCAUUUCUCUCCUACGGGUCGUAGAAACAACCAGCCUUCUACGGGUCGUAGAAACAAUGGGCCUUAUACGGGUCGUAGACGCAAUGGGCCUUCUACAAGCCGUAUCAUCAAUGGGCCUUCUACGGGCCGUAUGAUCGGUUGGCCAAACAUGGGCCAAUAACAGACCGCAUUAUGACCGUAAACGGGCUAGAGUUGGAAUCGUCCGUUCAUGGGCCGACCAUAACGGGCCGUCGUUAAUCGGCCGUAUUUGAUGACGCUAUGAAAAUAGCCCAACGUAUUAACGGGCCACAAACGGGCCGACUGUAACCUCAGGCUGAAUUUGGCCCACAAGCAGAAAAGGACAGUAAUGGGCCGUAAGUAAAUGAAUGCUGGAAAUGAGCCCAAGAAUAAAUGGACCCUGAGAAGGCCGAAAGAUAACAUCGGCUGGAAACGGCCCAACGGAAUAACGGGCCGUUAAUGGGUAUAAAGCGAUACACUGUUCAUUACGGGCCAGUUUCACCACGGGCUGUUAAUGGGUAUAAAGUGAUACACUAUUCAUUAUGGGUCAGUUUCACCACGGGCCAUUAAUGGGCCAAGAGUUACAAAUGUCCUCAUAUGGGCCGAAAGACGUCAUGGGCCAUACAUGGGCCAAAAGUUAAAACGGGCUGGAAUCAUAUUGGACGGCCCAGAUGACGCUACUAGGCCUAACUUGGAUAGGUCGUAAUGGGCCCUGGGUUAGCGGGUUGUAAAUGGGCUAUAUGCGAACAGGCCGUUAACAGGCUUUCCAUGGGCCGGCCCGCCACCUUUUAACCAAGCCAAACGGGCCGGCCUUUUCACAGGAAUGUGCCUCUAUUGAGCUAUGCCACGUGUCGACGUAUCAUAGGCGCCUUCUAUCCAAUGAGUGGAUGACAUCUGUCCCAACGGUGAGCCAACACAUGUUUCCUCCAGCCAAUGAUGAUUUUACACGUGGAAAAUCCCCAUUGGUCGGUGUUGUUAAUGGGUUUUCGGAUCCAAAACCGGACCCGAUAGUUUAAUGGCGUUCCGUUAUGAUGGAUGCCACAUGUCGGUCACCCUUGACGAAAGCACUUCUGUGACGCGUGAUUUAUCAUCAUGGAAAUGGACACUUCCGUGAAGAUAAUUUUGGUAAUGUCAUGGAACACUUCUACGACAGCACAUGUAUGACUAUCUUGAUUCUGUCAUAAAAUCAUCAUGGAUGUACAUGGAUGACAGAAAACGUGACCCACUGUCACAAACACGUAUCAUCAUGAAAGUGUAUUUUUUUUGUAGUGAAUACUAGCUAGUAAAGUUUAUCAGCUGUAGCAAAAAGAUUAUUUCUAACUUCUGAUGCAUCAUCAAUGUUACCAACUAGUAGCUGGUUUAGUUUGUGGGUACAAUUAACAGGGCAGUAUCAUACCAUGUCUGUUUGUGAGCACAAGUGAUUGAAAAUGAUGUGAAACCAUAACUCCAAAGAGUAGCUAGCGGAGGUUCUAGAGAAGACAACAUCCCUUGUUGACUAACAAUCAAAUACAAGUUGCACAACACCUACACUACACAUGCCUUGAACAAAAUGGCUCUAGAUCAAAUGUCAAAUACUCCAGCCUUCAAGUACUACAAGAACUUAAUAUGCAUGUUAUGUUAAUUCCAGUCAUAUUUAUCAGCAUCCUUUCAAGAACAUCAUAUCAUCAUUGCUACAGGGGUUACACUGCAGUAGAAUCUAUGAUGAGCAAUUAAAUACAAGUGAAAAAUAUGUUUUCAUGUGUGAAGUCCCAGGAUGAGUAGUUGUGAAACAGCAAUUGCAGUGAGCUAUUUCAACUACAAAAAAGAAGGCCCAGCUUAUCAGUGAGUUACUCGCAUGGGAUGGUCAGCCCCACAAGCAUCAUGCAUAGGCACAUCACACAUGCAUAAAUUUCCAAGAUAUAACUGGGUGGGUGUCUAAUAAUUCAGGGCUUGAAUCUACCAAGUAUCUUAGCAUAAUGCAUAACUAUUGUCUCUUUUCUUUUUAUGUAUUCUUCAGCAUAAUUCACUACACAGGGAAGAACAACAACUUGAAAUGCGGUAUCUCUCUUAGAGAAGACGAGAGGGUAAGUACCUUGAAGAGCUCGUCAAGAGCACCCAGAUGGAAGUCUCCUCGUCCUCCUGGACGAGAGAAGAAGCACAUGGAAGGGGGGAGGAUCCUAUCACGGUGGUAGACAACGGGGGAUGAUCCACCAUCCUCGUUUGGGUGAUCAGUCGACGACCUCCCCGGUCUUCUUGUGCUUCGACAGAAGGCAUUAGCCAAGGGUGCUCUUGAAGGAAAUAUGCCCUAGAGUCAAUAAUAAAGUUAUUAUUUAUUUCCUUAAUUCAUGAUAAAUGUUUAUUAUUCAUGCUAUAUUUGUAUUAACAGGAAACUUAGUACAUGUGUGAAUACAUAGACAAAACAUAUAGUCCCUAGUAUGCCUCUACUUGACUAGCUCGUUAAUCAAAGAUGGUUAAGUUUCCUAACCAUAGACAUGUGUUGUCAGUUGAUGAACGGGAUCACAUCAUUAGGAGAAUGAUGUGAUGGACAUGACCGAUCCAUUAGCUUAGCAUUAUGAUCGUGUUAGUUUCAUUGCUACUGCUUUCUUCAUGACUUAUACAAGUUCCUCAGACUAAGAGAUUAUGCAACUCCCGAAUACCGGAGGAACACUUUGUGUGCUACCAAACGUCACAACAUAAAAUGGUGAUUAUAAAGGUUCUCUAGAGGUGUCUCCGAAGGUGUUUGUUGGGUUGGCAUAGAUCGAGAUUAGGAUUUGUCACUCCGUGUUUCAGAGAGGUAUCUCUGGGCCCUUGAUACGUCUCCAACGUAUCUAUAAUUUUUGAUUGUUCCAUGCUAUUAUAUUACCCGUUUUGGAUGUUUAUGGGCUUUACUUCACACUUUUAUAUCAUUUUUGGGACUAACCUACUAACCGGAGGCCCAGCCCGAAUUGUUGUUUUUUUUUUGCCUAUUUCAGUGUUUCGAAGAAAAGGAAUAUCAAAUGGAGUCCAAACGGAAUGAAACCUUUGGGAGCGAUCUUUUUGGAACAAACCUGGUCCAGAGGACUUGGAGUGGAAGUCAAGAAAUAAAGGAGGCGGCCACGAGGGUGCCCGGUGCGCCCCCUACAGGUGGGCGCGCCCCCCACCCUCGUGGGCCCCUCGGGUGUCCACCGACCUACUUCUUCCUCCUACAUAUACCCAUGUACCCCGAAAACAUUAAAAGCGACCACGAAAAACUAUUUCCACCGCCGUAACCUUCUGUAUCCGCGAGAUCCCAUCUUGGAGCCUUCGCGAGCGCUCCACCGGAGGGGGAAUCGACCACGGAGGGCCUCUACAUCAUCUCCAAGGCCUCUCCGAUGAGUUGUGAGUAGUUUACCACAGACCUUCGGGUCCAUAGUUAUUAGCUAGAUGGCUUCUUCUCUCCCUUUGAAUCUCAAUACCAAGUUCUCCUCGAUCUUCUUGGAGAUCUAUUCGAUGUAACUCUUUUUGCGGUGUGUUUGUCGAGAUCCGAUGAAUUGUGGAUUUAUGAUCAAGUUUAUCUAUGAGAAAUUUUUGAAUCUCCUCUGAAGUCUUUUAUGUGUUAUUAAGUUAUCUUUGCAAGUCUCUUCGAAUUAUCAGUUUGGUUUGGCCUACUAGAUUGAUCUUUCUUGCAAUGGGAGAAGUGCUUAGCUUUGGGUUCAAUCUUGCGGUGUCCUUUCCCAGUGACAGCAGGGGCAGCAAGGCACGCAUUGUAUUGUUUCCAUCGAGGAUAAAAAGAUGGGGUUUAUAUCAUAUUGCAUGAGUUUAUCCCUCUACAUCAUGUCAUCUUUCUUAAUGCGUUACUCUGUUCUUAUGAACUUAAUACUCUAGAUGCAUGCUAGAUAGCUGUCGAUGUGUGGAGUAACAAUAGUAGAUGUAGGCAGGAGUCGGUGUACUUGUCACGGACGUGAUGCCUAUAUACAUGAUCAUGCCUAGAUAAUCUCAUAAUUAUUUGCUUUUCUAUCAAUUGCUCGACAGUAAUUUGUUCACCCAACGUAAUACUUAUGCUAUCUUGAGAGAAGCCACUAGUGAAACCUAUGCCCCCCAGAUCUAUCUUUUAUCAUAUAAGCUUUCAAUCUACUUUUAUUUGCAUCUUUACUUUUCCAAUCUAUAUCAUAAAAUACCAAAAAUAUAUUUAUCUUAUCAUAUUAUCUCUAUCAGAUCUCACUUUCGCAAGUGGCCUUGAAGGGAUAGACAACCCAUUUAUUGCGUUGGUUGCGAGUUCUUGUUUGUUUGUGUAGGUGCGUGGGACUUCUGAGGAGCCUCCGACUGGAUUGAUACCUUGGUUCUUAAAAACUGAGGGAAAUACUUACGCUACUAUUGCUGCAUCACCCUUUCCUCUUCAAUGAAAAUCAACACAAGCUCAAGACGUAGCAGCCCUUGAUACGUCUCCAACGUAUCUACUUUUCCAAAUACUUUUGCCCUUGUUUUGGACUCUAACUUGCAUGAUUUGAAUGAAACUAACCCGGACUGACGCUGUUUUCAGCAGAAUUGCCAUGGUGUUGUUUAUUGUGCAGAAAACAAAAGUUCUCGGAAUGACCUGAAAAUCCACGGAGAUAACUUUUGGAAAAUGUCGUGGAAUUAACACGUCAGAUGUCCUUAGUGUGAGGACUUAGUCGCGAGGCCAACGCAUCUAUGUGGUAGCUUGAGAGGGGUUGAACGGAAUCGAGAGACGCAACACAAGACAAGGGUUUAGACAGCUUCGGACCCCGGGAAACAUCAUCCGGUAAAAACCCUACAUGUUGUUUGAGGCUAGAUCUCAUUAUCAUCAUGAGGGAGUCGCCGUAAACCGGCUCUCUUCUAGUUGUGUCUAGUCCUAGAGAUUGUUUCUUGCUUGUCCCUCUUUGGGGAGCCCUGCCCCUUCUUAUAUAUGUUGAAGGGGCGGGUUGCAUGUGGAGUCCAACUCGGACUUUUACUUAAACUAUUUUGACUUCCUUUCCUGGGCUUCUCAACGUCUGCCAGUUUAACAUUGUCUGCCGGUUUAACAACGUCUGCCGGUUUAACAAUGUCUGCCGGUUUAACAAUGUCUGUCAUCUGUCUUAACUCUGCCGGUUUACCACUUGCCGGUUUACCGUCUGUCUUAGCCAUCUGCCGGUUUAACAAGUCCCGGCCGGUUUACGACUCCGGCCGGGUCAUACCGCGGGGUAUAUCCCCGACAUCAGCCCCCAGCUUAAUUUGGUUUUAUCCAUGUUAAACUGACUUGAUCGUCCUUAAGUCCUUGUCACUUCCUUCUUCUAGAAAAUCCGGUUUAAUAGGCCAGCUUCUUAAUCAAUUUGCUGACAUUGGUUUGUCACAGAGAAAUAUUGUGAAGAAUAACUUCUUUGACUCAGCACCUAGUGACUUAACAAAAAUAAUGGUCCUUGAAAUCCUCAUCUGCUCUUCAGCCGGUUUAAGAAUGUAGAACUUGCCGGUUUAUAAAUAUUGAUAACACCGGGUCAUACUUGUAGUUAACAUCCAGCUUGAAAAUAUACCUCUUUAUAUGACUUAUCACUUGUAGCCCCCAAGUCUUAAGAAGGUAGCAUAACAAUAGCUUAAGACUUGCUUCAAUAUAAAUAUCACAAUCUUGAAGAAAUCCAGGUUGUUCAUCUCAAUCACUAGUCAGAAUUGAGUAUUCCACAUAUGUAGCCCCCAAAUGCCGGGUCAUUAUGCAAUAAUGAGCAGGGACUUUGUAAAUAUAAUCAUGUAAACUUUGAACAGCAACGUGUAGCCCCCAAGGGCCGGCUCAGUAAGAUAAUAUUGAGCCGGGACUUUGAUAUAUACUUCAAUGAAAAUUACAUCAUAUGAUAACCCCCAUCAUGGGACUUGAAUCCACGUCCACAAGGUUAAGUGCCUUGUGCUUUACCAACUGAGCAGUGGACCCUUCAAUAUAAUGAAUAAAAAGCUUUGUACCUUGAAUUGUUGACAGGAGCAAUUGGUAGCCCCCAAGGGUCGGCUCAUUAUAAUGUGAUGAGUCGGGUUUUCAAUAAGAUGAGCAAAAAAUGACUUUGCAUUAGCCCCCAAGUGUCAUGGUGCAUGCUUGCAGCGACAUGAGACUUGCAUAUUUGAUGUAAUCUCAACUUAAAUAAUGUAGCUCCCAAGUGCCGGGUUGUAAGCCUGCAGCAACUCGGGACUAUUCCUUCAAUUGUAGAACAAAAAUCAUAUCCAUUGAUAAUAUGAUAGCCAUUGCGCUAAAGCGACUUUGAAAACCUUAAUCAUAAUACUGGUUAUUGAUAACCAUAAUAGAAAUCCAACCAUGUUGGCUAUUUGAAUAAUAUACCCAAUGAUUUAUAAGCGCAUAAUUCCAAUGGCGCAAUCCAAAUAUAUGCUGGCGACUUAUAGUCCAAAGCCAGGCCGGGUCAAUAAACACCAGAUUAUAAGUGAUUAUGUACUGACAACUUGUAGUUGAAAGUCGAGCCGGGUUAAUGAACACCGGGUUAAUUUGAUGACUGAUAGUCAUGCCGGGUCAAUAGACACCGGUUCAACAUAGAAUUUAUCAAAAGAGAAAAAUCUUGACAAAGGCAAAUAAAACCGUGUAGUCGAGGCUUUUUGAGGGCUGCCAGGCCCAAAUUCGAGGCUUUUUGUGGGCUGUCAGGCCGCUGAGUUGAACCAUUUAACAAAGCCUUUUAAGAUGGACCUCCAACUAAUCAAUCACCGUUUUAACUUUGACAAGUGCAGGGUCUCAAUGAAAGUAAAUGUCAAACGUUCGGAGGGCCGUGCCAGGAUGACCUGGAUAGGAGUGUCUUACUUGAUGAAGGCAGGUUAACCCGGAGUUUUAGGUAAAUAUACCGGGCUUCCAAGCCGUGGGUCGAUACCCAGCUACAAGGGUCCGUUCAAACUCCUUGGUAUUUGACACAAGGAGCCCCCAAGUAACGUGAUGAGUUGUGCUCAUUGGGUGCUUAUGUUUGAGCUGUGCGUAGCAACAAGACUCUCUUUGGCCCCUUGGGUGUGAAGCUCCCAAGCUGUAUUGUGGCGUGAUAGCCGGAUUAAUGGACAGAACUCCGCUUUGUCAGCCGAAGCCCCCUUGUAACCAAUAAUAUGAUAGCCAAUAAGGCGGGAUACCCAUGUUUGAACCGUGCAUCAUGGCAACAUGUCCUCUUCAGCAACCUUUAACUUUUUGCAAGAGAUAAAUUCUUCUUGAACCGGGAUUUUGAACCGGAUAUUGAGAGCUUCAAAGCUUUGUAGGAGAUAACUUUCCCUUAAACCGGAUAUUUAACCGGAAUCCUUCUUUUUAAGCCGGAAAUUUUCUGACGGCCUUUAAAUUUGCACCAAUAUGGCGGUGUAGGGUCCUACAUUAGACAACUUUGCAGCCGGAGUAAUUGCUCUUUUAAAGAAGGCAAUAUGUAUAAAAUAUAUUGAAUAGAUUUCACCUGAUAUAUUAGGCCCAAAAUGAUCCACCGCGUAGUUGGUGAUCACCCCGGUAAAGGCGGACGAGUCGGCGGUAGGCGCGGACAAUGAGUUAAUCACAUAUGUUGAUGUAGCGGGGGCGGCGACUUGCUCACAUAUCCGUCCAAUAGUACGGCACGGACAAGUACUAGUGCAAAAGCAAUAUUGGCUUACGCCCCUUUGCCACAUCUUUGUAAUAAUUAAUGGUCCUGCGAAAUAAAAAUACCACAUACCAGAAUAAUUGUUUUUCAAACAAUGUAAUAUAUACUGAUAAGAUUUAUAGAAAAGAUAGCACCUGGUGUUUGUAAACCACAGAUGAUCUGGACGUAGACACCCGUAGAUAACCUUUCUAUGCGGUUAGUGAAUUCUGUUUGAUGCUUAUGUAUGCAUCCAAAGGAUUUUCAACAACACCUGAUCACUUUGACUUUUCGUCCAACAAGCCCCCUUUUUUUUCUUUUAAUCAAGAAGCCUGAUGCAUAUCUCUUCCCCUCAUUUUUUUUCAUCAAUCUGCAAGGGAGCGUACGGGCGCAACCCGUGUGAUAGGACGACCAGAGCGGGGACACAGCGGGGCGGCAAGCCAGCAGGGGCGAUGCAAGAAUCAGCCCUGGCGCGUUGCGGGAGCAGCGUGGUGGCAUGAGGAGGAGCAAUGCGGGAGGCUGCUCGCGGAGGCAGGCCGGAGUGGAGGUGCAAACCGGCGAUGGCGGGGAUGAGGCGGUUUAUCCAUGGCGGGUCCGGCUUGGCGCGGACGCUGGGUCGCGUGGCGGCGGGUUCGGUUUGAAGCCUUGACAGAAACGGCCACGAGACCGGACGGCUUGAGGCGCUGUGGUACGGGUCAGGGCGGAGGUCCAGCAGGUUGAAUCCUGCGGCGGCGGUUUACUGAUGUCGCAGUCUGGAUCCGGCGUGGGUGGCCCGAGGCAGCAGAGGGGUACCGGUGAGCGUGCUCGCAGGCAGCAAACGAGACUGUGAGGGCGACUUGGCGGCGCAGGGCGGCUCACCGGCGGAGAUGAGGUAGUAACUCGGCGGUGCAGGGCGACGACUUACAGAUGCAAAGACGGCCGGAGAGGCCGUCGCCUUGCGAGGCAGACUGGUGCUGGCGAAUGGGGAGCACCUGGCCACAGGGAGGGCCAUGUGUGCAGUCGCUCGAGGCGGCGCGGCUCUGAAGCGGCGCGGCGAUUCAGGGUGGAGCAUCCACAGUAAAAGCGGCGGGUCAUGGCAGUUUGAGGCGGGAGGGUCCCGAUGGCGACUCGGCGGAGGUCAUGAAGUUGACUCGGCGCGGUGGCGGUUUAAUACAUCAGGCGGUUCGAGGUGCGGACGCGGCUGUAGCUGGAUGCGAGCACUGAGCAGGGCCACGGGCGAGGCAGACCCGGCGGGAGGCAGAAAGCAGCCGCGGUCACUCGGAUGGUGCCGCAGUUCUGCCGGGGUUGACCCGGGGCGGAGGCGACUCAACAGGCUUCGGCGGCGAGUUAGGCAGCGGACGGCGGUUCAACUCGGGCGGCUUGCCGCGGAGCACGGGAACAACAGCAGCUGACGCGCAGAAUUGGGGGCGCGGGUUGCAGCCAACGCGGAAGAGGCAGCGUCAGCGCGAGGCGAGCCGGUGGAGGCCUCGAGCGUCGAGGAUGCUGGCGAUUUAAUUGCAGAGGCGACAGCACAAACCGGCGGCGUCCGUCAGUCAAUCCGGUGUGUUGAAUAUACCGGACCGCAGAGGGGUCGGCCCGUCUUGAUAAUUCUUUGGGUGUACUCAAACUAGUACAGUACUGAUGAUUAUCAGCGCAUGUUUCUUUGAUCUGGGACUAUUUUGCCUGGUACACCAAUCGAUGGCAGCAGUGUGAGGAGCGCCCAUGAGAUAUUCCUCUGAAUAUGUACUAGCUCCCAGUAGUUUUUGGCAGUGCAUGUGACGUCCAUCAGUGCAUGUAACACUGAUUUUUAAUUAAAUCUCAAGAUCCACGUGAGUACUAUUGUACUUAUUGCCGGCAGGUUAUCCCUUGCUAAACAGUACCCAGCUCCUCACAAAAUCAGAGCUCGCAUAGGACCUUUUGAACAGAAUGAUUUGCAGCUUAUAAUUAUUCUUUCAGGUAACAACUGGUCCAUACAUAAAAGCUUCGCCAAUGGUUCUGCAGCAUCACAUGGCUGAAAAAAAAACACUGAUCUUUUCAACUCAAGUAAACCUGUGCGUUGUUGUCGGUAACUGAUCCAUCAUGAACUAUGCCGCAGCCGCUCGAGCAGUGUGAGUUAGCGGCCCAGGAACAGCAACGGGGCGGGUCACAGUCGCUCGAGCAGUGUGAAAGCGAAGCAGGUCUACCACGAAGGCUUCAGCUGCGGCUCGGCGGGCCAACCCGGCGCGGUUUGAGCAGCGCUAUAACAGAAGAAACGGAAGGCCGGACCGGCGACUCAGCGCGGCGCGGGACGGCAGCAGAAGGAGCGGAGGGCUGGCCCGGCGGAUCAGCAGGGGCCAUGAUGUCUUGUGGAGGCGUAUUGCAACGGUGGCGGGUCGAGUCGGCGGCAACCAGCGGAUUGAGGCCGCGCGCGCGACCGCAGCGGCAGAGUUGCUGCUCAGCCGGGUUGAGGCGACCACAGUCAUUGUACGUAGGUUAGGAACCAUGGAAGCCUACAGCGAGGUAAGCCGGCGAGGCGGCUCAGAUCAGGGUCACGGCGACGGCGGCCCGCUGCGGGACCGCGGACCACAGCAACGGAGGGCGGCUCGACGGAGACCGACGACUCAACAGCUUAGAGGCGGUUCGGGGUGAGGCCGCUCCGGCGAGUGCGGCGCAAGGCGACUUGAGUCGGGUCUGCGACUUGGACGAUAAGCAACUCGUCUCACAGAUGCGGCGGCCAGGGCAACUCGAGGUUGAAGCAAUUCAAGGGCCAAGUGACCGGGUUGGCGAAGGCGGAGCAGUCUCGACGGACCGCGGUGGUAACUCGGAUUCGGCGAGACGGGUCAACCCUGGCCGGUCUGACCCUGUCCGGGUCGUACUUUUUCUUUUGGUCAGAGCAAUACAAAGGCUAGGGCUCGUGGCAACUUCGGAGGCAACGUAACGAAAAAACUGAUGCAUAUCUUGGCUUUUAAUGGCGUUUUCAAUUCGGUUUCGUCGGAUCAUCUGGACGCUGCGGUGUGUACCGUCUUGUUCAACUCCAAUCUCAACCGUGCGCCCGAUGCCACGUUGUUGGUGUGCGUGCGGGCAUUGGUGCGACGAUUUUCCACCGUUCCUGAUGAGGAUCAACAGAAUUGAACUUUGAAUCUGAUUGAUUGCGAACUUCUUGAUCCCUGAGAAAGAAUCCCUCCAAGAACUCAACACCACCGUGCGCAGGCCCCACGGUGGGCGCCAACUGUCGUGGAAUUAACACGUCAGAUGUCCUUAGUGUGAGAACUUAGUCGCGAGGCCAAUGCAUCUAUGUGGUAGCUUGAGAGGGGUUGAGCGGAAUCGAGAGAUGCAACACAGGACAAGGGUUUAGACAGCUUCGGGCCCCGGGAAACAUCAUCCGGUAAAAACCCUACAUGCUGUUUGAGGUUAGAUCUCAUUAUCAUCACGAGGGAGUCGCCGUAAAUCGGCUCUCUUCUAGUUGUGUCUAGCCCUAGAGAUUGUUUCUUGCUUGUCCCUCUUUGGGGAGCCCUGCCCCUCCUUAUAUAUGUUGAAGGGGCGGGUUACAUGUGGAGUCCAACUCGGACUUUAACUUAAACUAUUUUGACUUCCUUUCCUGGGCUUCUCAAUGUCUGCCGGUUUAACAUUGUCUGCCGGUUUAACAACGUCUGCCGGUUUAACAAUGUCUGUCGGUUUAACAAUGUCUGCCAUCUGUCUUAACUCUGCCGGUUUACCACUUGCCGGUUUACCGUCUGUCUUAGCCAUCUACCGGUGUAACAAGUCCCGGCCGGUUUACGACUCCGGCCGGGUCAUACCGCAGGGUAUAUCCCCGACAGAAAAUAUAAAAAAUACUGGUGAAAGAAUCAAGGCCAGGGGCCCCACACCCUGUCCACGAGGGUGGGGGCGCCCCCCGUCCCCCUGGACGCGCCCCCCUGUGUCAUGGACCCCCUGAUGCUCCACCGACCUCAACUCCAACUCUAUAUAUUCCGUUUCGCGGAGAAAAAAUCAGAGAGAAAGUUUCAUCGCGCUUUACGAUACGGAGCCACCACUAAGCCCUAAUCUCUCUCGGGAGGGCUUAUCUGGAGUCCGUUCGGGGCUCCAAAGAGGGGGAUUUGUCGCCAUCGUCAUCAUGAACUAUCCUUCAUCACCAAUUUCAUGAUGCUCACCGUCGUGCGUGAGUAAUUCCAUUGUAGGCUUGCUGGAAGGUGAUGGGUUGGAUGAGAUUUACCAUGUAAUCAAGUUAGUUUUGUUAGGGUUUGAUCCUUAGUAUCCACUAUGUUCUGAGAUUGAUGUUGCUAUGAAUUUGCUAUGCUUAAUGCUUGUCACUAGGGCCCGAGUGCCAUGAUUUUAGAUCUGAACCUACUAUGUUUUCAUGAAUAUAUGUGAGUUCUUGAUCCUAUCUUGCAAGUCUAUAGUCACCUAUUAUGUGCUAUGAUCGACAACCCCGAAGUGACAAUAAUCGGGAUACUUCUUGGUGAUGACCGUAGUUUGAGGAGUUCAUGUAUUCAUUAUGUGUUAAUGCUUUGGUCCUAUACUCUAUUAAAAGGAGGCCUUAAUAUCCCUUAGUUUCCAAUAGGAACCCGCUGCCACGGGAGGGUAGGACAAAAGAUGUCAUGCAAGUUCUUUUCCAUAAGCACGCAUGACUACAUUCGGAAUACAUGCCUACAUUAUAUUGAUGAAUUGGAGCUAGUUCUGUGUCACCGUAUGUUAUAGCUAUUACAUGAGGAAUCGCAUCUGACAUAAUUAUCCAUCACUGAUCCAAUGCCUACGAGCUUUUCACAUAUUGUGCUUUGCUUAUUUACUUUUCCGUUGCUACUGUUACAAUUACUACAAAACUACUAUCGUUACUUUUUCCACUGUUACCAUUACUAUCAUACUACUUUGCUACUAAAUACUUUGCUACAGAUACUAAGUUAUCCAGGUGUGGUUGAAUUGACAACUCAACUGCUAAGACUUGAGAAUAUUCUUUGGCUCCCCUUGUGUCGAAUCAAUAAAUUUGCGUUGAAUACUCUACCCUCGAAAACUGUUGUGAUCCCCUAUACUUGUGGGUUAUCAAGACUAUUUUGUGGCGCCGUUGCCGGGGAGCAUAGCUCUAUUCUUUGAGUCACUUGGGAUUUAUAUCUGCUAAUCACUACGAGGAACUUGAAAGACGAAAGAACUAAGAUUUUUCCCUGAACUACGAGGCGAGGUAAGGAACUGCCAUCUUACUCUGCACUAGAUUCUCCUUCUGUUUUGAGUAAGCUUGCGACACCUAAGCCUGCUACUGCUAUGAAUUCUGAUAUGUCGCAUAUUAUUGAUGAUGCCACUUCUGCUAUGCAUGAUACUUAUGAUGAAACUACUUCUGUGCUUGAUACUACUUUGCCAUUAGGUGAAUUUCUUGAUGAACAACUUGCUAGGGUUAGAGAGAAUGAAAUUAUUGAAGAUGAAAUUAUCGAUGAUAGUGAUGAUGAAGGUUCUCCCCUUAAGUAUGAAUUGCAUGUUGUUCCUGAGGGUUAUGUUAUGGAUGAAGAAACUGCUAAAGAUCUUUUUGCUUGCAAUGAUAGAUCUGAUCUUAAGAAGUUACUAGCUAAACUUAAACAGAAAACUCUGAAUGCUAGAAUGAAAUAUGACCCUGCUUUUGCUACUUCACCUAUCUUUGUUACUGAUAAGGAUUAUGAAUUCUCUGUUGAUCCUAAGAUAAUUACCUUAGUUGAAUCUGAUCCUUUUUAUGGCUAUGAAUCUGAAACUGUUGUGGCACAUCUUACCAAGUUGAAUGAUAUAGCCACCCUGUUUACUAAUGAUGAGAAGUCUCGCUAUUAUUAUAUCCUUAAGAUAUUUCCAUUAUCAUUAAAGGGUGAUGCUAAAACUUGGUUUAAUUCUCUUGAUCCUGGUUGUGUGCGUAGUCCCCAGGAUAUGAUUUUUUACUUCUCUGCUUAAUAUUUCCCUGCUCAUAAGAAACAAGCUGCCUUGCGGGAAAUAUAUAAUUUUGUGCAAAUCGAAGAAGAGAGUCUCCCACAAGCUUGGGGGAGGCUUCUCCGAUUACUUAAUGUUUUGCCUGAUCAUCCUCUUAAGAAAAAUGAAAUACUUGAUAUCUUUUAUAAUGGACUAACCGAUGCUUCCAAGGACCACUUGGAUAGUUGUGCUGAUUGUGUUUUCAGGGAAAGAACAGUCGACCAAGCUGAAUUGUUAUUGAAUAAUAUGUUGACUAAUGAAAAUAAUUGGACUCUUCCUGAGCCAAUUCCUGAGCCAAUUGAGCCAACUCCUGAGCCUAUUCCUAAACCAACUCCGAAGAAGGGGGGUGUUCUAUUUCUCAGUCCUGAAGAUAUGCAAGAGGCAAAGAAAUCAAUGAAAGAAAAAGGUAUUAAAGCUGAAGAUGUUAAGAAUUUACCUCCUAUUGAAGAAAUACAUGGUCUUAAUAUGCCGCAUGUUGAAGAAAUACAUUGUCUUGAUAACCCGACACAGGUAGUAAAGGUAAAUUCUCUGUAUAGAUAUGAUAAAGUUGAAAUCCCGUCUACUAAAUUUCAUAGCCAAUGCUUAGAUGAAUUUGAUGACUUUAUGGCUAGACAAUAAAGUUUUAAUGCUUAUGUUGGUAGAGAAUUAAAGAGUAAUGCUUUCAUGAUAGGACGCUUGAGUGAUUAUAUGGCUAGAGUUAAAGGUGAACUUAAACUCAUUAGCAAAUAUGCUUCUAUGGUUACCACUCAAGCAGAACAAGUACUUAAAGCUCAAAGUGAUUUGCUCGAUGAAUUAAUAAUAAACAUGCUUUUAGAGUGGCUACUAGAACUGGUAGAAUGACUCAGGAACCUUUGUAUCCUGAAGGCCACCCUAAGAGAAUCGAGCAGGAUUAUCAGAGAAAUAAUUUAGAGGCACCUAUUCCUUCUAAAAAGAAGAAAAGGAAAAAUGAUAGGACUUUGCAUGCUUCUAGUGAACCUGUUGUAGACACACCUGAGAAUCCCAAUAAUAUUUCUAUUUCUGAUGCUGAAACACAAUCAGGUGAUGAACAUGAACCUAGUGAUUAUGUUAAUGAUAAUGUUCAUGUUGAUGCUCAACCUAGCAAUAAUAAUGAUGUAGAGAUUGAACCUGCCGUUGAUCUUGAUAACCCACAAUCAAAGAAUCAACGCUAUGAUAAAAGAGAUUUUGUUGCUAUGAAGCACGGUUAAGAAAGAGAACCAUGGGUUCAGAAACCCAUGCCUUUUCCUCCUAAGCCACCCAAGACAAAGGAUGAUGAGGAUUUUGAGCGCUUUGCUGAAAUGAUUAGACCUAUCUUCUUACGUAUGCGCUUAACUGAUAUGCUUAAAGUAAAUCCCUAUGCUAAAUAUACGAAGGAUAUCAUUACAAAUAAAAGAAAGAUACCGGAAGCUGAAAUCUCCACCAUGCUUGCUAAUUACACUUUUAAAGGUGGAAUACCAAAGAAACUUGGAGAUCCAGGAGUACCAACUAUACCAUGCUCCAUUAAAAGAAACUAUGUUAAAACUGCUUUAUGUGAUCUUGGAGCCGGUGUUAGUGUUAUGCCUCUCUCUUUAUAUCGUAGACUUGAAUUGAAUAAGUUGACACCUACUGAAAUAUCUUUGCAAAUGGCCGAUAAAUCAACUGCUAUACCUGUCGGUAUUUGUGAGGAUGUGCCUGUUGUGGUUGCAAAUGUCACUAUCUUAACGGACUUUGUUAUUCUUGAUAUUCCCGAGGACGAUAGUAUCUCAAUUAUCCUUGGUAGACCCUUUUUGAAUACUACAGGGGCUAUUAUUGAUUGCAACAAAGGCAAUGUCACUUUUCAUGUUAAUGGUAAUGAGCAUACGGUACACUUUCCGAGGAAACAACCUCAAGUUCAUAGCAUCAGUUCUAUUGGAAAAGUUCCAACUAUUAUUAUUGGAGGUUUUGAAUUUCCUCUUCCUAUUGUCAAGAAAAAGUAUGAUAUUCUUAUUGUUGGGGAUGUUCAUAUCCCCGUUGAGGUAACUUAGUGUUAUUCGAAAUUUCUCCGGUUCCAUGUUAUCCGGAAUGAGUUUGUUAACAAGACUUGAUCAACCUUGUUAGUGGAUUCCUUUUGAUGAUCAUGAUAUGGAUGAAACUAGAAGGCACAACCUUCUGUACUCUCCUUUUACUCUCUGUUAUUUAGAAUAAAUAAAGCAAAAAUAGUAUUAUCUGUCUGUUUUCUAAAUUAUCAAUGCAAUAAAAAAAUAUCCCGAAAAUAAAAGUGCUCCAAAUGCCCUGCAAAUUUAGUAUGAUUUUUAUGGAAUAUUUGAGGAUUUUAGGCACUGAGAACACAGCAGGGGGGGGGGGGGAAUCACCUGGCCAUGAGGGUCCAGGGCGCGCCCCCCUGUCUCGUGGGCCCAUGGUGCCCCCCUCCACUUAUUCCUGCACCCACACACUCCAUCUUACUCCCAAAAAAUCCCCAUCCAGCUCAAGCACGAGUUCUAGCUCAUUUUGGUGCGAUUUUCGAUCUCCUUACUCAAAGCUCCAUUCACAAAACUGCUUUGGGAGAUUGUUGCUUGAUAUGUGACUCCUCCAUUGGUCCAAUUAGUUUUUGUUCUAGUGCUUUAUUCAUUGCAAAUUUUUGCUGCAUAGGUGACCCUGUUCUUGAGCUUGCAUGUCAAAUUUAUGAGGCCCCAAGUAAUUCUAAUGCAUGAUAUAGGCUCUAGGAACUUGUGGGAGUAGUUGUUAUCAAUCUUGUUUAGUUUGAUUCACUUUUAUUUUGAAGUUACUAAAAAUUUCAGAAAUUUUCAGAAAAUGAUGAGGAGAUUAUUGAGGGGCUCUUCUAGCCAAGGCUCUAAGGAUAAAUAAGCUAAGGAGAAAGAAAAGGCCAAGUAUAAUCUUCCUCGCGUAGCGGAAGUAAGGCCUUGUGUGUGGCCAUGUGAUAAUUUCUUGAGAGUAGCUGCGAUCCUUGGGCAUAGACCAACUUAGGCCAAAAGCCUAAGCUUGGGAAGUACGUAUUUCUCACCAACUUUACAUUCAUAUUCACACACUAUUCUAGUUGUCGGUGCUCAUACUCUUUCAUUGUACUUUCCAUGCUAGUUUAAUUUAUUUUUCUAGCUUUCUUCUUGUGUGUUUGAUAAACCUUAAGAAACCCAAAAAAAUUAGUUAGUUUAAUUUCCAUGCUUGUAGUAGUAAUUAAAAGAAAACCCAAAAAGAUUUCUCGUUCUUCUUUUGCUUGUUGGGAGCUUUCCCGUGUAAAUAGUUUUAUUUCUUUUCUUUCUUUUGGGGGUCAAGAGUAGAAGACCAUAUUGAAAAUGUUUAGUGGCUCUCAUAUGCAUGAUUGUUGAUUUAACUUAGAGCCCAUAUUACCUUGUCUUCUCUCUUGAAUUGAAUGCUUGCAGAUUCUAGCUUAGUCCAAUGCACGUGCACUAUUAUUAUUAUCCACACCGUUCGGUCAUGCAAGUGAAAGGAAAUUAUGACGAUAUAUGAUGGACUGGUUGAGAUGAGAGAAGCUGGUAUGAACUCGACCUCUCUUGUUUUUGUAAAUAUGAUGAGUUCAUCAUUCCCGAUUCAGCCUAUUAUGAAUAAACAUGUUUGCAAUGACAAUUAGAGAUUAUAGUUGCUUAUGCCAUGCUUAAUUAGCUAGGAGCUUAUAAUGGUUUAUCUUGCGUGCCAACAUGCUAUUAAAAUGGUUGUGAUGUGGUAUGAUAGGGUGGUAUCCUCCUUUGAAUGAAUUGAGUGACUCGACUUGGCACAUGUUCACGCAUGUAGUUGAAACAAAUCAACAUAGCCUUCACGAUAUUUAUGUUCAUGGUGGAUUAUAUCCUACUCAUGCUUGCACUCAGUGUUGAUUAAUUUUAAUGCAUGUUCAUGACUAUUGUCGCUCUCUCAGUUGGUCGCUUCCCAGUCUUUUGCUAUCCUUCACCUGUACUAAGCGGGGAUACUGCUUGUGCAUCCAAACUCCAUAAACCCCAAAGUUAUUCCAUAUGAGUCCACUAUACCUUCCUAUAUGCGGUAUCUACCUACCGUUCCAAGUAAAUUUGUAUGUGCCAAACUCCAAACCUUCAAAUGAAAUUCUGUUUUGUAUGCUCGAGCAGCUCAUGUUUCAACUAGGGAUGUCUGUAUCUUCCAUGCUAGCUGGGUUAUUCUCAAGAGGAGUGGACUCCGCUCCUCAUUCAUGAGAAAAUGGCUGGUAACCGAGAUACCCAGUCCCAUGAUCAAAAAGAUCAAAGCAAAUCAAAAUAAUUAAAACAAAACUCCCCCAGGACUGUUGUUGGUAUGGACGAUACCCCGUUGUUUCGAAUGGCCGUGGAGUGUGCUUGUUGGUGGUGGGGGAGUAUAAACUUUACCAUUCUGUUUGGGAACCGCCUAUAAUAUAUGUAGCAUGGAAGAUAUCGAGAUCUCAUAGUUGUUGCAUUGACAAUGAAAGUAUACUGCUCAAAAUGUUAUUCAUCUCUAUUUUAAAAUCGAGCUCUGGAACCUCUACAAAUCCCUGCUUCCCUCUGGGAAGGGCCUAUCUAUUUACUUUUAUGUUGAGUCAUCACCCUCUUAUUAAAAAGCACCCGCUGGAGAGCACACUGUCAUUUGCAUUCAUUACUAUUAGUUUAUAUUGGGUAUGACUUGACUGGAUCUCUUUUACCAUGAAUUACAAUGUUUAGUCAGUCCUUGAUCUUUAAAGGUGAUCUGCAUUUAUGUUUUGCGGUUUCAGAAAGGGCUAGCGAGAUACCAUUUUGUCAUAUCAUAUCAUGAUUGUUUUGAGAAAGUGUUGUCAUCCGAGUUUUAUUAUUAUUGCUCGCUAGUUGAUUAUGCCAUUGAUAUGAGUAAACAUGAGACCUAAGUGUUAUUGUGAAUAUGGUUAGUUCAUAAUCUUUGCUGAAACCUUGAAUGCUGGCUUUACAUAUUUACAACAACAAGAGCAAACAGAGUUUGUAAAAGUUUUUCUUUAUCACUUUCAGUUUAUCAACUGAAUUGCUUGAGGACAAGCAAAGGUUUAAGCUUGGGGGAGUUGAUACGUCUCCAACGUAUCUACUUUUCCAAACACUUUUGCCCUUGUUUUGGACUCUAACUUGCAUGAUUUGAAUGAAACUAACCCGGACUGAUGUUGUUUUCAGCAGAACUGCCAUGGUGUUGUUUAUUGUGCAGAAAACAAAAGUUCUCAGAAUUACCUGAAAAUCCACGGAGAUAACUUUUGGAAAAUAUAAAAAUACUGGCAAAAGAAUCAAGGCCAGGGGCCCACACCCUGUCCACAAGGGUGUGGGCGCGCCCCCUAUCUCGUGGGCCCCCUGAUGCUCCACCGACCUCAACUCCAACUCUAUAUAUUCCCUUUCACGGAGAAAAAAAUCAGAGAGAAAGUUUCAUCGUGUUUUACAAUACGGAGCCGCCGCCAAGCCCUAAUCUCUCUCAGGAGGGCUGAUCUGGAGUCCGUUCGGGGCUCCGGAGAGGGGGAUUCAUCGUCGUCGUCAUCAUCAACCAUCCUCUAUCACCAAUUUCAUGAUGCUCACCACCGUGCGUGAGUAAUUCCAUCGUAGGCUUGCUGGACGGUGAUGGGUUGGAUGAGAUUUACCAUGUAAUCAAGUUAGUUUUGUUAGGGUUUGAUCCCUAGUAUCCACUAUGUUCUGAGAUUGAUGUUGCUAUGACUUUGCUAUGCUUAAUGCUUGUCACUAGGGCCUGAGUGCCAUGAUUUCAGAUCUGAACCUAUUAUGUUUUCAUGAAUAUAUGUGAGUUCUUGAUCCUAUCUUGCAAGUCUAUAGUCACCUAUUGUGUGUUAUGAUCCAACAACCCCGAAGUGACAAUAAUCGGGAUACUUCUCGGUGAUGACCGUAGUUUGAGGAGUUCAUGUAUUCACUAUGUGUUAAUGCUUUGGUCUGGUACUCUAUUAAAAGGAGGCCUUAAUAUCCCUUAGUUUCCAAUAGGACCCCGCUGCCACGGGAGGGUAGGACAAAAGAUGUCAUGCAAGUUCUUUUCCAUAUGCACGUAUGACUAUAUUCGGAAUACAUGCCUACAUUAUAUUGAUGAAUUGGAGCUAGUUCUGUGUCACCCUAUGUUAUAGCAAUUACAUGAGGAAUCGCAUCCGACAUAAUUAUCCAUCAGUGAUCCAAUGCCUACGAGAUUUUCACAUAUUGUGCUUUGCUUAUUUACUUUUCCGUUGCUACUGUUACAGUUACUACAAAACUACCAUCGUUACUUUUGCCACUGUUACCAUUACUAUCAUACUACUUUGCUACUAAAUACUUUGCUACAGAUACUAAGUUAUACAUGUGUGGUUGAAUUGACAACUCAAAUGCUAAUACUUGAGAAUAUUCUUUGGCUCCCCUUGUGUCGAAUCUAUAAAUUUGGGUUGAAUACUCUACCCUCGAAAACUGUUGCGAUCCCCUAUACUUGUGGGUUAUCAGCCCUCUCGGUAAUACUCAUCACUACAAGACUUGCAAGCAUUGUGACUAGUGAGUUAGUUGUGGAAUGAAGUAUUACGGAACGAGUAAAGAGACUUGCCGGUAAUGAGAUUGAACUAGGUAUUGAGAUACCAACGAUCGAAUCUCAGGCAAGUAACAUAUCGGUGACAAAGGGAACAACGUAUGUUGUUAUGCAGUUUGAUCGAUAAAGAUCUUCGUAGAAUAUGUGGGAACCAAUAUGAGCAUCCAGGUUCCGCUACUGGUUAUUGACCGGAGACGUGUCUCGGUCAUGUCUACGUAGUUCUCGAACUCGUAGGGUCCGCACGCAUAAUGUUCGAUGAUGAUUGGUAUUAUGAGUUUAUGUGUUUUGAUGUACCAAAGGUAGUUCGGAGUCCCGGAUGUGAUCACGGACAUGACGACGAGUCUCGAAAUGGUCGAGACAUAAAGAUCAAUAUAUUGGAACCUAUGUUUGGACAUCAGAAUGGUUCUGGGUGAGUUCGGGCAUAUACCGGAGUACCGAGAGGUUACCAGAACCCCCCCCCCUCGAGAAGUAUAUGGGCCUUAUUGGGCCAGAGUGGGAGAGAGGAGAAGGAAGCCUAGGAGGGGGGCGCCCCCAAGCCCAAUCCGAAUUGGGUGGGGGGCCGGCCCUGAUAACCCACAAGUAUAGGGGAUCGCAACAGCUUUCGAGGGUAAAGUAUUCAGCCCAAAUUUAUUGAUUCGACACAAGGGGAGCUAAAGAAUAUUCUUGAGUAUUAGCAGUUGAGUUGUCAAUUCAACCACACCUGGAUAACUUAGUAUCUGCAACAAAGUGUUUAGUAGCAAAAGUGGUAUGAUAAUAAUGGUAACGGUAGCAAAAGUAAAGAUAAAUGUUUUUGGGUUUUUGUAGUAGUUGUAACAGUAGCAACGGAAAAGUAAAUAAGCGAAGAACAAUAUGUGAAAAGCUCGUAGGCAAUGGAUCAGUGAUGGAUAAUUAUGCCGGAUGCGAUUCCUCAUGCAAUAGUUAUAACAUAGGGUAAUAUAGAACUAGCUCCAAUUUGUCAAUGUAAUGUAGGCAUGUAUUCCGUAAAUAGUCAUACGUGCUUAUGGAAAAGAACUUGCAUGACAUCUUUUGUCCUACCCUCCCGUUGCAGCGGGGUCCUUACGAAAACUAAGGGAUAUUAAGGCCUCCUUUUAAUAGAGAACUGGACCAAAGCAUUAACACAUAGGGAAUACAUGAACUCCUCAAACUACGGUCAUCACCGAGAAGUAUCCCGAUUAUUGUCACUUCGGGGUUGUCGGAUCAUAACACAUAAUAGGUGACUAUAGACUUGCAAGAUAGGAUCAAGAACACACAUAUAUUAAUGAAAACAUAAUAGGUUUAGAUCUGAAAUCACGGCACUCGGGCCCUAGUGACAAGCAUUAAGCAUAGCAAAGUCAUAACAACAUCAAUCUCAGAACAUAGUGGAUACUAGGGAUCAAACCCUAACAAAACUAACUUGAUUACAUGGUAAAUCUCAUCCAACCCAUCACCGUCCAGCAAGCCUACGAUGGAAUUACUCAUGCACGGUGGUGAGCAUCAUGAAAUUGGUGAUGGAGGAUGGUUGAUGAUGACGACGGCGACGAAUCCACCUCUCCGGAGCCCCGAACGGACUCCAGAUCAGCCCUCCCAAGAGAGAUUAGGGCUUGGCGGCGGCUUCCGUGUCGUAAAACGUGAUGAAACUUUCUCUCUGAUUUUUUUCUCCCCGAGACGGAAUAUAUGGAGUUUGAGUUGAAGUCGGAGGAGGUCCAGGGGGCCCACGAGAUAGGAGGCCGCGCCCUAGGGGGGGGCGCCCCCCUGUCUCGUGGAUAGGCUGUGGGCCCCCUGGCAUUAAUUCUUUCGCCAAAAAUUCUUAUUAAUUCCAAAAAGUGCCUCCGUGGAUUUCCAGGACAUUCCGAGAACUUUUCUUUUCUACACAUAAAAAAACAUCAUGGUAGUUCUGCUGAAAACAGCGUCAGUCCGGGUUAGUUUCAUUCAAAUCAUGCAAGUUAGAGUCCAAAACAAGGGCAAAAGUGUUUGGAAAAGUAGAUACGUUGGAGACGUAUCAACUCCCCCAAGCUUAAACCUUUGCUUGUCCUCAAGCAAUUCAGUUGAUAAACUGAAAGUGAUAAAGAAAAACUUUUACAAACUUUGUUUGCUCUUGUUGUUGUAACAUGAAAACUCCGCAUUCAAGUUUCAACAAAUAUUAUGAACUAACCAUACUCACAAUAACACAUAGGUCUCACAAUUACUCAUAUUAAUAACAUAAUCAGCUAGCGAGCCAUAAUAAUAAAACUCGGAUGACAACACUUUCUCAAAAUAAUCAUAACAUGAUAUAACAAAAUGGUAUCUCGCUAGCCCUUUCUGAGACCGCAAUACAUAAAUGCAGAGCACCUUUAAAGAUCAAGGACUGACUAAACAUUGUAAUUCAUGGUAAAAGAGAUCCAGUCAAGUCAUACCCAAUAUAAAUCAAUAAUAAUGAAUGCAAAUGACAGUGUGCUCUUCGGCGGGUGCUUUUUAAUAAGAAGGAUGAUGACUCAACAUAAAAGUAAAUAGAUAGGCCCUUCGCAGAGGGAAGUAGGGAUUUGUGGAGGUGCCAGAGCUCGAUUUUAAAAUAGAGAUUGAAUAACAUUUUGAGCGGCAUACUUUCACUAUCAACACAACAUCUAUGGGAUGGCUGUAUCUUCCAUACUACAUGCAUUAUAGGCAGUCCCCAAAAAGAAUGGUAAAGGUUUAUACUCCCGCAACCACCAACAAGCAUCAAUCCAUGGCUUGCUCGAAACAACGAGUGCCUCCAACAUACAAUAGCCCUGGGGGAGUUUUGUUUAAUUAUUUUGAUUUUCUUUGAUCUUUUUGGAUCAUGGGACCGGGCAUCCCGGUUACCGGCCCUUUCUCGUGAAUGAGGAGCGGAGUCCACUCCUCUUGAGAAUAACCCACCUAGGAUGGAAGAUAUAGGCAGCCCUAGUUGUAACAUGAGCUGCUCGAGCAUACAAAACAGAAUUUCAUUUGAAGGUUUGGAGUUUGGCACAUACAAAUUUACUUGGAACGGCAGGUAAAUACCGCAUAUAGGUAGGUAUAGUGGACUCAUAUGGAACAACUUUGGGGUUUAAGGAGUUUGGAUGCACAAGCAGUAUUCCCGCUUAGUACAGGUGAAGGCUAGAAAAAGACUGGGAAGCGACCAACUGAGAGAGCGACAACAGUCAUAAACAUGCAUUAAAAUUAAUUCACACCAAGUACAAGCAUGAGUAGGAUAUAAUCCACCAUGAACAUAAAUAUCGUGAAGGCUAUGUUGAUUUGAUUCAACUACAUGCGUGAACAUGUGCCAAGUCGAGUCAGUUAAUACAUUCAAAGGAGGAUACCAUCCCAUCAUACCACAUCAUAAUCAUUCUAAUAGCAUGUUGGCACGCAAGGUAAACCAUUAUAACUCAUAGCUAAUCAAGCAUGGCACAAGUAACUAUAAUCUCUAAAUGUCAUUGCAAAUAUGUUUACUUCACAAUAGCUGACUCAGGAACGAUGAAUCAUCAUAUUUACAAAAACAAGAGAGGUCGAGUUCAUACGAGCUUUUCUCAUCCCAAUAAGUCCAUCAUAUAUCGUCAUUAUUGCCUUUCACUUGCACGACCGAACGAUGUGUAUAAUAAUAAGAGUGCACGUGCAUUGGACUAAGCUGGAAUCUGCAAGCAUUCAACUCAAGAGAGAAGACAAGGCAAUAUGGCUCUAAGUUAAAUAGACAAUCAUGCAUAUAAGAGUCACUAAGCAUUUUCAAUAUGGUCUUCUCGACCCCCGAAGGAAAGAAAUGAAAAUAAAACUAUUUACACGGGAAAGCUCCCAACAAGUAAAAAGAAGAGCGAGAAAUCUUGUUGGGUUUUCAUUUUAAUUUCUACUACAAGCAAGGGAAUUAAACUAACUAAUUUUUUUGGUUUUUCUUAAGGUUUAUCGAACACACAAGAAGAAAACUAGAAAAAGAAAUUUAAACUAGCAUGGAUAAUACAAUGAAAGAGUAUGAGCACCGACAACUAGUGUGUGAACAUGAAUGUAAAGCCAGUGAGAAAUACGUACUCCCCCAAGCUUAGGCUUUUGGCCUAAGUUGGUUUAAUACCAAGGACCGCCGCUACUCUCCCCAGUGUAGUGGGAGGUGUAAUUAGGAUACCACUGGCUGGUCAUCUCCGGAUCCCACUGGACAGAUGAUGCACGAUAAGGGUCUAGUUCAGGUUCUGACUCAGGUUCAGGUUCCGGAGUAAAAGCUUGGGCUAGAUGGUUGUUGACCGCUUCCGGCGUGACAAGACGAUUUUCUGCAAGCAAAUCAAACAACAGAGGUGCGGGCAAAAUAAUAAACUCAAAGUGUUUCUUAUUGAAUCUAAGUCUAUACAAGAGCAUCUUCUCUUCGUUGUCAACAAUAAACUUGUGUGCUACCAUGCUCUUGUAAUCUAAAAUGUGAGGAGGUAAUUUUGUCUCCUCCUCCUCAAGGUGCCUAAUGGGUAUCUGAAAAUGUUCAGCAAGACGUGCAGCAUAAAUACCUCCAAAUAUGGGGCCUUUUGUACGAUUCAGGGCAAGCCGUUUAGCAACGACGGCACCCAUACUAAAAGUAUUGUCCCCAAGCAAAGCAUGUUGAAGAAUAAUAAUAUCUGGGACGCUCAAAUUUCCACUAUUUUCUCGACCAAUCAAGCAUCUACUAGCAAAUAUGGCAAAGUAGCAUAAAACUAGAAAGUGUAUGCUAGAGACCUUCGCCUCGGAGCCCUUCUUUGGCUCCUCUACAACAAUAGUAUUAACAAAGCCACCCACAUCAUCACGAUGGGGUUCAUCUAAUUCUCCCACAUAAGGUAUCCUACAUACCGCACAAAAAUGAUGUAAAGACAUUUCUUUGAAUUCAUCAUAUAAAUGAAAUGAUACUGCACGCGGUGACUUCUUAGGAUAAUAAAAAAGUUUUGCACGAAAGUAUUAGUGAGUAAUAGAUACUAAUCGAUUCGGUCGUUCAUGAAACCGGUGAGGCCUGUAGUCUCGAUUAAAGCAUAAAAAUCUUCAUGAAUUCCGGCUUCUUUCUAGAAAUCUUCACAUGGCCAUUCACACGACCGUACUUCCGCUAAGCGAGGAAGAUUAUACUUGGAUUUUUCCUUCUCUUUGGCUUGUUCUUCCUGAGAGCUUUGGCUUGAAGAGCCUUUAAAAAUCCUCCUUAACAUUUUCUGAAAAUUUCUGAAAUUUUAUAACUUCGAAAUAAAAGUGAAGAAAACUAAACAAGAUUGAUAGCAACUACUCCUACAAGUGCCUAGAGCCUAUAUCAUGCAUUGGAAUUGCUUGGGACCUCAAAAAUUUAACAUGCAAGCUCAAGAACAUGGUCACCUAAGCAGCAAAAAAUUGCAAUGAAUAAAGCACUAGAACAAAAACUAAUUGGACCAAUGGAGGAGUCACAUACCAAGCAACAACCUCCCAAAGCAGUUUUGUGAAUGGAGCUUUGAGCUAAGAGAUCGAAAAUCGCAGCAAAACGAGCUAGAACUCGUGCUUGAGCUGGAUGGGGAUUUUUUUGGGUAGAAGAUGAAGUGUGUGGGUGCUGGCAUAAGUGGAGGGGAGCCACCAGGGGCCCACGAGAUAGGGGCGCGCCCUACAGGGGGGCGCGCCCUCCUCUCUCAUGGCCUGGUGCUUGCUCCUCCUGCAGUGUUUUCAGUGCCUAAAAUCCUCAAAUAUUCCAGAAAAAAUCAUACUAAAUUUGCAGGGCAUUUGGAGAAGUUUUAUUUUCGGACUAUUUUUAAUGCACGGAUAAUUCAGAAAACAGACAGAUAAUACUAUUUUUGCUUUAUUUAUUAUAAAUAACAGAAAUUAAAAAGAGGGUACAGAAGGUUGUGCCUUCUAGUUUAAUCCAUCUCGUGAUCAUCAAAAUGAACCCGCUAACAAGGUUGAUCAAGUCUCGUUAACCAACUCAUUCCGAAUAACAUGGAACCGAAGAAAUUUCGAAUAACACUAGGUUACCUCAACGGGGAUAUGAACAUCCCCAACAAUAAGAAUAUCAUACUUUUUCUUGACAAUAGGAAGAGGAAAUUCAAAACCUCCAAUAAUAAUAGUUGGAACUUUUCCAAUAGAACUGAUGCUAUGAACUUGAGGUUGUUUCCUCAGAAAGUGUACCGUAUGCUCAUUACCAUUAACAUGAAAAGUGACAUUGCCUUUGUUGCAAUCAAUAACAGCCCCUGUAGUAUUCAAAAAGGGUCUACCAAGGAUAAUUGAGAUACUAUCGUCCUCGGGAAUAUCAAGAAUAACAAAGUCCGUUAAGAUAGUGACAUUUGCAACCACAACAGGCACAUCCUCACAAAUACUGACAGGUAUAGCAGUUGAUUUAUCAGCCAUUUGCAAAGAUAUUUCAGUAGGUGUCAACUUAUUCAAUUCAAGUCUACGAUAUAAAGAGAGAGGCAUAACACUAACACCGGCUCCAAGAUCACAUAAAGCAGUUUUAACAUAGUUUCUUUUAAUGGAGCAUGGUAUAGUUGGUACUCCUGGAUCUCCAAGUUUCUUUGGUAUUCCACCUUUAAAAGUGUAAUUAGCAAGCAUGGUGGAAAUUUCAGCUUCCGGUAUCUUUCUUUUAUUUGUGAUGAUAUCCUUCAUAUACUUAGCCUAAGGAUUUACUUUAAGCAUAUCAGUUAAGCGCAUAUGUAAGAAAAUAGGUCUAAUCAUUUCAGCAAAGCGCUCAAAAUCCUCAUCAUCCUUUGACUUGGAUGGUUUAGGAGGAAAGGGCAUGGGUUUCUAAAACCAUGGUUCUCUUUCUUUUCCAUGCUUCCUAGCAAUAAAAUCUCUCUUAUCAUAACGUUGAUUCUUUGAUGGUGGGUUAUCAAGAUCAACAGCAGGUUCAAUCUCUACAUCAUUAUUUUUGUUAGGUUGAGCAUCAACAUGAACAUUAUCAUUAACAUUAUCACUAGGUUCAUGUUCAUCACCUGAUUGAGUUUCAGCAUCAGAAAUAGAAAUAUCAUUGGGAUUCCCAGGUGUGUCUACAGUAGGUUCACUAGAAGCAUGCAAAGUCCUAUCGUCUUUCUUUUUCUUCUUCUUAGAAGAACUAGGUGCCUCUAAAUUAUUUCUUUGAGAAUAUUUAUCGAUUCUCUUAGGGUGGCCUUCAGGAUACAAAGGUUCCUGAGUCAUUCUACCAGUUCUAGUAGCCACUCUUACAGCAAAGUCAUUUUUAUUAUUUAAUUCAUCAAGAAAAUCAUUUUGAGCUUUAAGUACUUGCUCAGCUUGAGUAGCAACCAUAGAAGCAUAUUUGCUAACGCGGUGAAGUUCAUCUUUAACUCUAGCCAAAUUAUCACCUACGCGUCCUAUCUCGAAAGCAUUAUUCUUUAACUCUCUACCAACAUAAGCAUUCAAACUUUCUUGUCUAGCCAUAAAUUCAUCAAAUUCAUCUAUGCAUGGGCUAUGAAAUUUAGUAGAGGGAAUUUCAACUUUAUCAUAUCUAUAGAGAGAAUUUACCUUUACUACCUGUGUCGGGUUAUCAAGACAAGGUGGUUCUUCAGGCGGUAUAUUAAGACCAUGUAUUUCUUCAAUAGGAGGUAAAUUCUUAACAUCUUCAGCUUUAAUACCUUUUUAUUUCAUUGAUUUCUUUGCCUCUUGCAUAUCUUUAGGACUGAGAAAUAAAACACCUCUCUUCUUCGGAGUGGGUUUAGGAAUAGGCUAAAGAGUUGGCUCAAUUGGUUCAGGAAUUACUUCAGGAACUGGCUCAGGAAGAGUCCAAUUAUUUUCAUCAGUCAACAUAUUAUUCAAUAGUAUUUCAGCUUCGUCGACUCUUCUUUCCCUGAAAACACAACCAAAUCAUGCAAGUUAGAGUCCAAAACAAGGGCAAAAGUGUUUGGAAAAGUAGAUACGUUGGAGACGUAUCAGGCCCCCCUUUCCUUCCUCCUUCCUCCCCCUUCCUUCCUCUCCUAGUCCAACUAGGGAAGGUGGAAAUCCUACUCCCGGUGGGAGUAGGACUCCUCCAGGGCACGCCAUAGAGGGCCGGCCCUCCCUCCUCCUCCACUCCUUUAUAUACGGGGGAGGGCCCCCCAGGGACACACAAGUUGACAUUGUUUAGCCGUGUGCGUUGCCCCCCUCCACAGUUACACACCUCGAUCAUAUCGUCGUAGUGCUUAGGAGAAGCCCUGCGCCGGUAACUUCAUCAUCACCGUCAGCACGCCAUCGUGCUGACGAAACUCUCCCUUGGCCUCAACUGGAUCAAGAGUACGAGGGACAUCCCCGAGCUGAACGUGUGUUGAACGCGGAGGUGUUGUACGUUCGGUGCUUGGAUCGAUUGGAUCGCGAAGAUGUUCGACUACAUGAACCGCGUUAACUAAACGCUUCCACUUUUGGUCUACGAGGGUACGUGGACACACUCUCCCCUCUCGUUGCUAUGCAUCACAUAGAUAGAUCUUGCAUGAUCAUAGGAUUUUUUUGAAAUUACUGUAUCAGCCUGAUUUUUGGCCCUUUCUUUUUCUUUUGAUUUUCUGAGGUUUUUGCCUGAGUUUUCUUUUUCCGUGGCUUUCUGGUCUGGAAACUGAAGAAGGUGUUUUCUUCUUCCCUUCCAGAGUGGCUUGUCAUCCCCUAUCCAACCCUAUACCCUGUCAUUUUCAUCCUAGCCCAAAUCCCAAUAUUCUUUUUAUUGGGAAUAUUCCUUUUUCUGUUAAAGGAAUAACUCAAUUUUCCCUAGGUUGUGAAGCAGCCUAUAUAUCCCUCACUCCUAAAUUCCCAAAUAAUUCUCAUAAAUUUCUUUGGGUCAUAUCUGCCUCAAAUAUGGAAAAACAUUUCAUUUUCCAUGUUUUCCAUCAUCCUCAAAUAGUUCAUUUCCUAUUCUACCCUAAAUGGCACAUUGUGAAGUAAGUGCUAUUUUCCUUUGCCCAAUUGACCUCAAACUCCUUGGACAUAAUUUCCUGUCCAUAUCAUUGCCACAUGCGAAAAUGCAACCUCAUUUGCCUAGUAGUAAUUUAAUUAUGAUUUUCCAAAGUUUCUGUCCAGAAAGAAACUUUGUGAAGGAGGUACAAGCUAGGCAUAUCCAAAUGAGUUGCACUUUUUCAUGGUCCUUCAUAUCAUCAAAUCAUAGCCCUCCACCAAAGUUGAGCUCAUGUAAUGCCUCCAUGUGAGCACAACAUCAUGUCUUUGAUUUUGUCCAAAAUUUCAGUUUGUGAAGCAAGUAUAUUUUAUCUUGCUCCAUUAUGGCUGCAAAUUUUUCUAGGCCUUAUCCCACCCAUAUAACCUAUCUCCACCCAAUUUAGCAUAUUUUACCUAGCCAUUAUCCCUCUAGAAGUUUUGCAAGUUUCUGGUCAGUGGGGAUGUUUGUGAAGGAAGUACCAUUUUGGUUUAUCCAAAUGGUAUGAAACCUUUUUUAGCAUCUUCAUAUGAUCAAAUAACUGUGACUUGCCAAAGUUGAGCUUAAGUUGAUACUUCAUGUGAGUGCAUCAUCCAAAUCCCCAUUUCUGGCCAUUAUGGCAAUUUCUACAGCAAGUGCUAUCUAAACUCCUCCUCUUGAGCUGAAACCUUGCCAUCCUGAUCACCUUAGUGAGUGAUCAACCCCAGUCAAAGAUCAGUCUUAAUAUCCACACGUGUGAGCCACAGCAAACUCCAAACACAUUGCUGUUGCCUAGUGUUCUUGCUUCCUGUGAUCACAUCAGUGAGCACUAUGCUUGGCUCUCUCUUCCUUGGCAUCUAUCUUUGCAUCCCUUGUCUCCCAGACAUGAUUUGGCCGAUCAGAGCACGGGUUAGCAUCGUGUCCACGCGGUGACCACCAUUUUGGCAUGUCACCCCCGCGCUCUAGCGCCUCUCCCUUCUUCUCCCCGUUUGUGCACUCGUCCCCUCGGAGCCUAGUCAUGUCCAGUGUGUUCACCGCGUUGUCGCCGUCCCUCUAGAGCGCUUUCCCCCUCCGUCUUCUUCUCCGGUGCCGUCCCUCUCACCACAUUGUGCGCGCGCAGUAGCCGACCAUCAUCUUGUCCUCUGUCGGCUUCUUCCUCCCUUGUCCUCGAGCUCCGCUCGUCUCUGUGACCACUGGUGCUCGUCCGUUCCCUCCCCAUCGUCUUCCCCGAGCUCAUGCGCGAGCACACGCGUCCGCGGUGACGCCAGCUCGGCCAUGACCUCGCCCGGCUAUUUAAGCCAGCCCCGAGCCCCUCCGAGCACUCCAAGCCACUCCUCCACCUCCCAGGACCCCGCCCCGCUUCUCUCCCGAGCUCAAAGAGCUCUCUGUUUCCCUCCAUGGCUGUCGUGCCCACAUCGGCCUCGGCCUAAAUUCGUGCACAGCCAAGGACCCCUCCCUCUCUAGCCACCACCGUCGUCCUUCCCAACUCUCCUGGAGCCUUCCCAGCCCGUUCCCUUGUCGCCAGAGCAACCGGGUCCGCGAGUCCGGCGAUGCCCGAAGCACUCCUCCGCCGCGACCAUCAUUCCGCCCGCGUCGGUGCUCUCCGGCUUGGCCAGACCCCUCAGGCGUGUGAGGCUCGUCGUCCAGGUCACUCCGGUGGCCGGAGCGUCGCCAGAGAUGGCCAGAGCAGCCCAGACGAGCGUCGGUGUCGGUGGCCUGCCUCUGCUUUGCGGGCGGCGUUGAGCUAGAGAAGGAGGAGAGGGAGGAGAGAGAGAGGUGCGUGGCCCCCACCCGUCAGCCACACAGGAGCCGGCCCCGUGUUGACCCCGCUGAUGCUGACGUGGAUAAGUGGCAACGUGAUCCUCCAGAAUACGCUUUCAUUUUUUCCGUCCAGGCCCUGUUAGAAAAUAUUUUUCUUGCAGAUAGGUCCCUCGCAGAAAACUCCUCCUAAUUUUUUAUCAGUAACUCCGAUCAUGGUGAAUGCAACGCCCACGUCUUCAUCUCGUCGAUCCUGUUCUGUUGCCCUCAUUUUCACUAUGGGUUGACGUAUUGAAAAUGACCUUUUUUCCCUUGCCCCUAAUCAGCCCCUCCGAGAGAGAACCCUUUCCAGCGAUUCUUUCCGCGGUCGUUCCGCACUUCUUCCCAGAGCCUUCUUCAUCCCCAGGCAAGCCACAACCACCAUUUGCAUGAUAGCCAUGCAGAAGCAUUGGUUUCCAACUUGAAUGUUUAAUAACUAUUUGAUUGUUUUGCUACUGCUGUCAUUAUUUCGGUUAUGUUUAUGGAUCAGUUUUUACCGUCAUGUUUUCUUGCGCUCUGUUAUUAUGCUCUUCAUGCUAGUAUUACUUACUUAUGGACCUUUUUUGGUAGUAGUACAUGUUGGUGAUGGUCUUCGGUGCAUGACUAUCAUCUGUUCUGAGUACCGCCGUUAUGAAUGUUUCUUUGCAUGUAGUUGAUUAAGUACUUGCAUGGUCGUUUUAUCGUUAUGUUAUUGCUGUUGGGGAACGCGGUAAUUUCAAAAAUUUCCUACGCACAUGCAAGAUCAUGGUGAUGCAUAGCAACAAGAGGGGAGAGUGUUGUACACGUACCCUCGUAGACCGAAAGCGGAAGCAUUAGCACAACGCGGUUGAUGUAGUCGUACGUCUUCACGAUCCGACCGAUCAAGUACCAAAUGCACGGCACCUCCGAGUUGAACACACGUUUAGCUCGAUGACGUCCCUCGAACUCCGAUCCAGCCGAGCUUUGAGGGAGAGUUCCGUCAGUAUGACAGCGUGGUGAUGAUGAUGAUGUUCUACCGACGUAGGGCUUCGCCUAAGCACCGCUACGAUAUUAUCAAGGUGGAUUAUGGUGGAGGGGGGCACCGCACACGGCUAAGAGAUCCAAGGGAUCAAUUGUUCUGUCUCAAGGGGGUGCCUCCCUCCCCGUAUAUAAAGGAGUGGAGGAGGGGCCACCCUUGGCGCGCCCCAUGAGGAGUCCUACUCCCACCAGGACUAGGACUCCCCCCCUCCAUGUUGGAGUAGGAGAGGAGAGGGAAGGAGAGAGAGGGGAAAGAAAAGGGGGGGCGCCCCCCUCCUUUCCCAAUUCGGACUUGGGAGGGGGAGGGGCGUGCGGAUGCCCCUUGGCCGCCUCUCCUCUUCCACCACUUGGGCCCAUAAGGCCCAAUAACCUCUGGGGGGUUCCAGUAACCCCCCGGUACUCCGGUAUAUAUCCGAUAACCCCCGGAACCAUUCCGGUGUCCGAACAUAGUCGUCCAAUAUAUCAAUCUUCAUGUCUCGACCAUUUCAAGACUCCUCGUCAUAACUGUGAUCACAUCCGGGACUCCGAACUAUCUUCGGUACAUCAAAAUACAUAAACUCGUAAUAUAACUGUCAUCGAACUUUAAGCGUGCAGACCCUACGGGUUCGAGAACUAUGUAGACAUGACCGAGACACGUCUCUGGUCAAUAACCAAUAGCGGAACCUGGAUGCUCAUAUUGGCUCCUACAUAUUCUACGAAGAUCUUUAUCCGUCAAACCGCAUAACAACAUAUGGUGUUCCCUUUGUCAUUGGUAUGUUACUUGCCCGAGAUUCGAUCGUCGGUAUCUCGAUACCUAGUUCAAUCUCGUUACUGGAAAGUCUCUUUACUCGUUACGUAAUGCAUCAUCCCAUAACUAACUCAUUAGCUACAUUGCUUGCAAGGCUUAUAGUGAUGUGCAUUACCAAGAGGGCCCAGAGAUACCUCUCCGACAAUCGGAGUGACAAAUCCUAAUCUCGAAAUACGGCAACUCAACAAGUACCUUCGGAGACACCUGUAGAGCACCUUUAUAAUCACCCAGUUACGUUGUGACGUUUGGUAGUACACAAAGUGUUCCUCUGGUAAGCGGGAGUUACGUAAUCUCAUAGUCAUAGGAACAUGUAUAAGUCAUGAAGAAAGCAAUAGCAACAUACUAAACGAUCAAGUGCUAAGCUAAUGGAAUGGGUCAAGUCAAUCACAUCAUUCUCCUAAUGAUGUGAUCCUAUUAAUCAAAAGACAAUUCUUUGUCCAUGGCUAUGAAACAUAACCAUCUUUGAUUAACGAACUAGUCAAGUAGAGGCAUACUAGUGACACUCGGUAUGUCUAUGUAUUCACACAUGUAUUAUGUUUCCGGGUAAUACAAUUCUAGCAUGAAUAAUAAACAUUUAUCAUGAUGUGAGGAAAUAAAUAAUAACUUAAUUAUUGCCUCUAGGGCAUAUUUCCUUCAGUCUCCCACUUGCACUAGAGUCUAUAAUCUAGAUUACAUAGUAAUGAUUCUAACACCCAUGGAGCCUUGGUGCUGAUCAUGUUUUGCUCGUGGAAGAGGCUUAGUCAACGGGUCUGCAACAUCCAGAUCCGUAUGUAUCUUGCAAAUCUCUAUGUCUCCCACCUGGACUUGGUCCCAGAUGGAAUUGAAGCGUCCCUUGAUGUGCUUGGUUCUCUUGUGAAAUCUGGAUUCCUUUGCUAAGGCAAUUGCACCAGUAUUGUCACAAAAGAUUUUCAUUGGACCCGAUGCACUAGGUAAGAAACCUAGAUCGGAUAUGAACUCCUUCAUCCAGACUCCUUCAUUUGCUGCUUCUGAAGUAGCUAUGUACUCCGCUUCACAUGUAGAUCCCGCCACGACGCUUUGUUUAGAACUGCACCAACUGACAGCUCCACCAUUCAAUAUAAACAUGUAUCCGGUUUGCGAUUUAGAAUUGCUCGGAUCAGUGUCAAAGCUUGCAUUGACAUAACCAUUUACGACUAGCUCUUUGUCACCUCCAUAAACGAGAAACAUAUCCUUAGUCCUUUUCAGGUAUUUCAGGAUAUUCUUGACCGCUGUCCAGUGAUCCACUCCCGGAUUACUUUGGUACCUCCCUGCUAAACUAAUAGCAAGGCACACAUCAGGUCUGGUACACAACAUUGCAUACAUGAUAGAGCCUAUGGCUGAAGCAUAGGGAACAUCUUUCAUUUUCUCUCUAUCUUCUGCAGUGGUCGGGCAUUCAAUCUGACUCAAUUUCACACCUUGUAUUACAGGUAAGAACCCUUUCUUUGCUUGAUCCAUUUUGAACUUUUUCAGAACUUUAUCAAGGUAUGUACUUUGUGAAAGUCCAAUUAAGCGUCUUGAUCUAUCUCUAUAGGUCUUGAUGCCCAAUAUAUAAGCAGCUUCACCGAGGUAUUUCAUUGAAAAACUUUUAUUCAAGUAUCCUUUUAUGCUAUCCAGAAAUUCUAUAUCAUUUCCAAUCAACAAUAUGUCGUCCACAUAUAAUAUUAGAAAUGCUACAGAGCUCCCACUCACUUUCUUGUAAAUACAGGCUUCUCCAAAAGUCUGUAUAAAACCAUAUGCUUUGAUCACACUAUCAAAGCAUUUAUUCCAACUCCGAGAGGCUUGCACCAGUCCAUAAAUGGAUCGCUAGAGCUUGCACACUUUGUUAGCACCUUUUGGAUCGACAAAACCUUCUAGUUGCAUCAUAUACAACUCUUCUUCUAGAAAUCCAUUCAGGAAUGCAGUUUUGACAUCCAUUUGCCAAAUUUCAUAAUCAUAAAAUGCGGCAAUUGCUAACAUGAUUCGGACAGACUUAAGCAUCGCUACGGGUGAGAAAGUCUCAUCGUAGUCAACCCCUUGAACUUGUCGAAAACCUUUCGCAACAAGUCGAGCUUUGUAGAUAGUAACAUUACCAUGAGCGUCAGUCUUCUUCUUGAAGAUCCAUUUAUUCUCAAUGGCUUGCCGAUCAUCGGGCAAGUCAACCAAAGUCCAUAUUUUGUUCUCAUACAUGGAUCCCAUCUCAGAUUUCAUGGCCUCAAGCCAUUUUGCGGAAUCUGGGCUCAUCAUUGCUUCCUCAUAGUUCGUAGGUUCGCCAUGGUCAAGUAACAUGACUUCCAGAAUAGGAUUACCGUACCACUCUAGUGCGGAUCGUAGUCUGAUUGACCUACGAUGUUCAAUAGUAAGUUGAUCUGAAGUUUCAUGAUCAAUAUCAUUAGCUUCCUCACUAAUUGGUGUAGUCAUCACAGGAACCGGUUUUUGUGAUGAACUAUUUUCCAAUAAGGGAGCAGGUACAGUUACCUCAUCAAGUUCUACUUUCCUCCCACUCACUUCUUUCGAGAGAAACUCCUUCUCUAGAAAAGGAUCCAUUCUUAGUAACAAAGAUUUUGCCUUCGGAUCUGUGAUAGUGUACCCAACAGUUUCCUUUGGCUAUCCUAUGAAGACACAUUUCUCCGAUUUGGGUUCGAGCUUAUCAGGUUGAACCUUUUUCACAUAAGCAUCGCAGCCCCAAACUUUAAGAAACGACAACUUUGGUUUCUAGCCAAACCACAGUUCAUAAGGCGUCGUCUCAACGGAUUUUGAUGGUGCCCUAUUUAACGUGAAUGCAGCCAUCUCUAAAGCAUAACCCCAAAAUGAUAGCAGUAAAUCAGUAAGAGACAUCAUAGAUCACACCAUAUCUAGUAAAGUACGAUUACGACGUUUGGACACACCAUUACACUAUGGUGUUCCGGGUGGCGUGAGUUGUGAAACUUUUCCGCAUUGUUUCAAAUGUAGACCAAACUCGUAACUCAAAUAUUCUCCUCCAUGAUCAGAUCAUAGAAACUUCAUUUUCUUGUUACGAUGAUUUUCAACUUCACUCUGAAAUUCUUUUAACUUUUCAAAUGUUUCAGACUUAUGUUUCAUUAAGUAGAUAUACCCAUAUCUGCUUAAAUCAUCUGUGAAGGUGAGAAAAUAACGAUACCCGCCACGAGCCCCAACAUUCAUUGGACCACAUACAUCAGUAUGUAUGACCUCCAACAAAUCUAUUGCUCUCUCCAUAGUUCCGGAGAACGGCGUUUUAGUCAUCUUGCCCAUGAGGCAUGGUUCGCAAGUACCAAAUGAUUCAUAAUCAAGUGAUUCCAAAAGUCCAUCAGUAUGGAGUUUCUUCAUGCGCUUUACACCAAUAUGACCCAAACGGCAGUGCCACAAAUAAGUUGCACUAUCAUUAUCAACUCUGCAUCUUUUGGCUUCAAAAUUAUGAAUAUGUGUAUCACUACUAUCGAGAUUCAUCAAAAAUAGACCACUCUUCAAGGGUGCAUGACCAUAAAAGAUAUUACUCAUAUAAAUAGAACAACCAUUAUUCUCAGAUUUAAAUGAAUAACCGUCUUGCAUCAAACAAGAUCCAAAUAUAAUGUUCAUGCUCAAUGCUGCCACCAAAUAACAAUUAUUCAGGUCUAAAACUAAUCCCGAAGGUAGAUGUAGAGGUAGCGUGCCGACGGCGAUCACAUCGACUUUGGAACCAUUUCCCACACGCAUCGUCACCUCAUCCUUAGCUAGUGUUCGCUUAAUCCAUAGUCCCUGUUUUGAGUUGCAAAUAUUAGCAACAGAACCAGUAUCAAAUACCCAGGUGCUACUGUGAGCUCUGGUAAGGUACACAUCAAUAACAUGUAUAUCACAUAUACCUUUGUUCACCUUGCCAUCCUUCUUAUCCGCCAAAUACUUGGGGCAGUUCCGCUUCCAGUGACCAGUCUGCUUGCAGUAGAAGCACUCAGUAUCAGAAUUAGGUCCAGAUUUGGAUUUCUUCUCUUGAGCAGCAACCUGUUUGCCGUUCUUCUUGAAGUUCCCCUUCUUCUUCCCUUUAGCCUUUUUCUUGAAACUGGUGGUCUUGUUGACCAUCAACACUUGAUGCUCCGUCUUGAUUUGUACCUCCGCGGCUUUUAGCAUUGCUGUCGGUGUCAAAACUAGCAGAUCUCGGCUAGGGGGUCCCGAACUGUGCGUCUAGGCGGAUGGUAACAGGAGACAAGGGACACGAUGUUUUUACCCAGGUUCGGGCCCUCUCGAUGGAGGUAAAACCCUACUCCUGCUUGAUUAAUAUUGAUGAUAUGGGUAGUACAAGAGUAGAUCUACCACGAGAUCAGAGAGGCUAAACCCUAGAAGCUAGCCUAUGGUAUGAUUGUUGUUCGUCCUACGGACUAAAACCCUCUGGUUUAUAUAGGCACCGAAGAGGGUUAGGGUUACACAGAGUCAGUUAGAAUGGUAGGAGAUCUACAUAUCUGUAUCGCCAAGCUUGCCUUCCAUGCCAAGGAAAGUCCCAUCCGGACACGGGACGAAGUCUUCAAUCUUGUCUCUUCAUAGUCCAGGAGUCCGGCCAAAGGUGAUAGUUCGGCUAUCCGGACACCCCCUAAUCCAGGACUCCCUCAGUAGCCCCCGAACCAGGCUUCAAUGGUGAUGAGUCCGGCGCGUAGAUUGUCUUCGGCAUUGCAAGGCGGAUUCUUCUCCAAAUCCUGUGUACAUGUUUGAAUAACAUCCGGCUUCUUGUAAAUAUUGCGCUCCUCGGCUUUCACGCCCAAUAAUGGCCAUCUUCCACGUGUUGAACGAAUGUGAAAAGCCAGGGUAUUUUUACAUUAUACCCCCCUAGCCACGCAAAUGAGAUGCCUAUAAAAGAGACGGGGAUCUAGAUCCGAAUCACACCAUCCUCCCUUCGCGAGCAUUCAUCAGAGCGCAUCUGACAGAAAUCCAUUCCAUCAUGGACAAUCGACGCGACUCCUCCUCUCGCCCUUCCAGCCCCCAGCCUGGAGAUUGGGAGAGAUGCUCCAUAUCGCACAGCAAGUUAGUGGCGCUCCAAACCAAGGGAUUUCUUCCCCGAACCUUCAUGGUUCCGGUUCAAGCCGGACUCACCACCUAUGUGGGCGGAAAGCAAGCGGAGAGCGUCCCCAGCCCCUCCAAAGGAGAGCGGGUGUGCCUAAUCUCUUAUUUGAUAAGAGGGCUCGGAUUUCCAAUUCAGCCGUUUCUCCGGGGGCUCCUGGAGUUCUAUGGCCUCCAGUUGCACAACCUUACGCCUGCCUCCAUUCUGCAUAUUGCGGGCUUCGUGGCCCUUUGCAAGCUGUUUUUGGGCAUCGAGGCUCAUUUUGCGCUAUGGAAGAAGUUGUUCUGCCUUGCGCCCCGUUCUCAAGAGGGAUCAAUAUAUCAAGUGGGUGGAGCCGAGCUAUGGUGCAUCGCCGGGACCGGAUAUCUAUCCGGAACCCUGAAGAAGGCGUCCGAAGACUGGCCUUCGGAGUGGUUUUAUAUAGAAGAUGUCCCCCUGUCGGACCCUGUUCGGAUCAGCCUCCCUGAGUUCAAUAAUGCUCCUUUGAAGAAACGCCUAAGCUGGCGUCCACGGAGCCCUCAGAAAGAAAAUGACAGGGACGUCCUUUACCUGAUGAGCCGGAUAAGGUUGUUAGCUCAUUCCGGAUUGACCAUGAUCGGGGUCAUGGCCACAUGAAUUAUGCGGGGGGUGCAGCUGCUCCAGUAUAGAGGCCACCCCAUGUGGUAUUUCAACAGGGAGCAUGAUGCCACCCGCUGCGGCCGUAAGGGGCCGGGAUCGGUGGCUGAUCUGGUGAAGAUCUUGUCCGCGUUGUACAAGGGAGAAGAGGAGGAAUUCCUCUGCGUCAAUCCACAGAGCGGAUUUCUAUGAACAAUCCUCCAAGCUGGGUAAGCGGACAUUUAUUUUUGCCUAUCCGAUCCGUAUUCCCAUAGUCAAGUAUCUCAUUUUAUGAUUUCGACACAGGAACUGCGCCGGGCAGUAAAGGAUAUAAAUAGCCCGCCUCCACAGCCCGAGUAUCCGGAACGGUUCCUUGAUCUGACCUCCCAAGAGGAUCCGGACAUAUCGGUGGAGCUGAUCGACGGGGUAUUCCACCAAAUGAGCAUUGAUAAUGCCUUGGUCGCCAUUACGACCGAUUACCCCGCCAUACUUCCCGCCUCGCAGGUAAUUGAGACCAAUGUCCCAAUACUUUGAAAAUGACCCAUCCGUGCUUAUUUUUGAUCACCGUAUACUGAUGGCGCUUCGCAGGGGGCGCCCUUGAGGCGGAAGGCCGAGCCCGUGGUGGCUAGCCAACAAGGGGUAGCACGGCCCAACAGGCUAAAAAGAAGUGCGGUCCGGAUUGAAAUUCUGGCGCAACGGUAUGGCGUGCCACCUUACUCUCAGGCUUUAUUCCUGGGAGACAUACUAACGCUCGUGCUUUUUCAGGAAAAAGAGCGCUCGCCGAACUGUAUCCGGAGAGGUUGCCAAUCAAUCCUCCGUUCGCCAGGCUCCAAAGCCAGGUCUAGAGGCGGAGGCGAACACGAGGCAUGCGUCGGAUGCUCCUCCGACAGAGGAUGCCGACAGGUUAUCUGGCACCAAUUCCGAGGUGGAGAGUGCCAUGAAUCACAGGCGUCGCCGGACAAUUCUUCGCGACGUGUGUUUCUCCCCGGAGGCAUUGAAUGCCUUUAAUUCGGGAGAUGUGCAACUCCGUGCUGCUCGAAAUGGUCUAGCCAGAGCCACGGAGCAGUAUGUAAAAGACAUACGGGUGAGAAAAUUUGACAGUUAUAUAUGCCAGUAGCCCCGAGACUUGAAAUAGUUAGAAUAACUGAUUUAAGGAUCAUUUAUUGUGCAGGAUCUUACAGAAAAGAAUACCCAACUGUCCCAGGAGCUGGAGGAGUGCAAAGCCCAACUUGAGGCCGCACUAGCCGCAUCGGGGGAAGGCAAAGAGACUCCCUCUGGUAAUAUACGCUUCAAAAGAUAAACAACUUGUGAAGUGGGGCGUGUGUAGAAAUCUGACAAUAAUAUUGCAGAUGGCGCCGGAAUAGAUCCGGAUAAGCAACAGCUCAUGCGCCGGUUAAAAGCCGGCGAGAAUGUGCUUACAAGGGUGAGUCAAGAGAAAAACAAUCUCCAAGAUGCCAACACCCGGCUGGGUGAGGAACUAAAGGAUGUUCGUGCCCAGCUGUCUGACUCCGUGAAGGAGAAUCGGCGGCUUCGACGCGGCAUUUUUAGUAAGUGCUUGAGCGAACUUUGAAAAAGAGUUCGGCGAGCAAGUCCACUAACAAAGGUUUGUCUGUAGGUAUGCUCACAGGCCGUCCUGCAGAGGAGAUGCCCGGUUCUACGGGUGACCUUCUUCCCGAGCUCUUGCAAUUGCACGAACGAGUUCGGCAGGUGAUGAAAGACGUCACCCAGGCCUUAUGGUCAUCUAUCUCCUUGCCCGAAGGCCUUGGAGAGCUUGCAGAGAGGCUUAAGGGAGUGCGGUGGCGCUUGCGAUUAUGGAAGAUAUCGGCCUGCCGUCAAGGUGCCAGGGAGGCCUGGGCCAUGGUGAAGACGCGGUAUACGAAGGCUGACCCAAACCACAUGGCCAAGGUCGGACCUGUGGGGCCCGAUGGGAAGGAGAUCCCUGUGAGCUUAGAGUACGGCCAAGUAGAAUUGGCCGCAAAGUAUUCCCAGCAGGACUGUAAACUAGACAGCCUAUUAGAUGGCAUCGAAGAGGAAUACAAUCAGUCGAAUUGACUAUGUAAUUUAAGAUGACAUGAAAAAUGCCUUCCAGCCGGAUUGUAGAUUGUUUGUCAUAGCGGACCUUUUCGCUUCAACCUCAGGACCCAAUAGUCUGGAGUGUGUCCGAAUACCCUCGCGGUUAUAUAAGAACCGGGGCAUGCGUGGAUACCAGGCGUAGGGGUCAUUAGUGCUUUAUCAGACAAGUGCCCAACUAGUUAUGUUAUAUUACAUGGUUAGUAAGAAACAUCUUCCAGGGAGAAUAGUUCCGUUAGGGGUUCCUUUCCCUGGGAGGCAUGCCCUAAAGUGCAUGUCCGGACUGCGAAAAAAGAAGAAAAACAUCUGGGGGCAGAUAAAUAGGUAUUAAAUCAUAUUUUUGUUCACCGACCGAAUAUUCCCUUAAGAACGCUAGCUUUCGGCUUCACCUAGUCUGAGGUACACAUCCGGCUGAUCCGGCAGUAACAAUCGCAGAGGUGCUCCCUUUACCACCUAGCCGAACAAUCGGGAACGUAGGGGUAAGCACAGGAGCCAGGCAACCCAGCUUGGCCAAAACUUAAGUCAUAUCGAUGCAUAUAAUGGUGAAUAAAAGGUACAUGCGGAAGUAUGACACAUGUAUUGGGUAUAGAGCCCGUAUAAAUAAGCUUCUGUUAAAGAAGCCCCCAGGUAUAAUGAGCGCGAAUGGCGCUUCAAGUGUGUGCAAACAAUGCGCGAACAAGCUUUCAAAGGCUGUAAAUAAAAAGGAGGGAGAAGGAGAGAAACAGAAGACAACUAAUAUGUAAAAUAUAGACGGAGGAAGGAGAUGAACUCAGAAUCCGGCGCUAGGCGUAGAAUCUUCGGAGACGGGCUGCGUUCCAUGGGUUCGGCUCGAGUCGGUUAUCUGAUGCAUCUCGCAGACGGUACGCUCCUCCGGUCAGGACUUGGUCGAUGAUGAAGGGACCUUCCCAUUUAGGCUUUAGUUUGUCCUUUUUCUUGUCCAGCAGGCGUAGAACUAACUCGCCAACGUUGUAAGUUUUGGCCCGUACUUCUCUGCUUUGAUAUCUUCGAGCUUGCUGUUGAUAGAAUGCGGAACGGGCUUUUGCCACGUCACGCUCCUCCUCCAAUGCGUCCAAACUGUCCUGCCGAUCGAGCUCGGCUUCUCUUUCUUUGUACAUGCGCACGCGAGGUGAGUCAUGAAUUAUAUCGCAGGGCAGAACUGCCUCUGCGCUGUAUACCAUGAAGAAUGGUGUAAAUCCGGUGGUGCGAUUCGGAGUGGUCCGCAGCCCCCAGAGUACGGAGUCGAGCUCCUCUACCCAGUGCGUAUUAGAUUCCUUGAGGGACCGCACUAAUCUGGGUUUGAUGCCGCUCAUGAUUAGACCAUUUUCUCGCUCGACUUGACUGUUAGUUUGAGGGUGAUAGACUGAAGCAUAGUCGAGCUUGAUGCCCAUGUUUUUGCACCAGAGUUUGACCUCGUCGGCCGUAAAGUUUGUGCCGUUAUCAUUGAUGAUGCUAUGGGGGGACGCCGUAAUGAUGUACGACCCCUGAUAUGAAGUCUAUCACCGGUCCGGAUUCGGCCGUCUUAACAGGUUUGGCCUCUAUCCAUUUGGCGAAUUUAUCCACCAUGACCAGUAGGUAUUUUUGCUUGUGGGUUCCUCCUUUAAGGGGUCCGACCAUGUCAAGCCCCCAGACCGCGAAGGGCCUGGUGAUGGGUAUAGUUUUGAGGGCAGUGGGUGGCAUGUGGCUUUGAUUAGCAAAGAGCUGGCAACCGACGCAUCGUUGGACUAAGUCCUGAGCAUCUGCCCGGGCCGUCGGCCAAUAAAAUCCUGUACGGAAGGCCUUGCUUACAAGGGUCCGGGCUGCGGCGUGGUGCCCGCCGAGUCCGGCAUGAAUUUCAGCCAGAAGGUUCCACCCUUCCUCUUCGGAGAUACACCUUUGAAGGACUCCGGUUGUGCUUUUCUUGUAAAGCUCUCCCUCAUGGACAUUAUAGACUUUAGAUCGCCACACUAUGCAGCGGGCCUCAUUUUGGUCCUCGGGAAGUUCCUGCCUAGUUAGGUAGGCUAGGAAUGGUUCCAUCCACGGGGCAAUGACUUCCAUUAUUACGUGGGCUGAAGAUGUUACUUCAUUGGCAGAACCACCAAUUGUGUCAGUAUGUUCGGCGUCGGGCAGUGCGGUUGGGUCCGGGUUGUUGUUUCCGGAUUCUCCCUCCCAUAAUACGGAUGGCUUGAACAACCUCUCUAGGAAGACGUUGGGAGGGACGGCAUCGCGCUUUGCGCCAAUGCGCGCCAAUACGUCUGCUGCUUGGUUGUUAUCCCGGGCUAUAUGGUGAAAUUUGAGCCCUUCAAACCGAGCUGACAUUUUUAGGACGACAUUGUGGUAAGCUGCCAUUUUCGGAUCCUUGGCAUCGAAGUCUCCAUUUAUUUGGGAUAUCGCGAGGUUCGAAUCCCCGCGCACCUCUAGGCGUUGAAUACCCAUGGGGACUGCCAUCCGGAGGCCGUGUAGAAGGGCCUCGUAUUCGGCUGCGUUGUUGGAGUCCGUAUACAUUAUCUGUAGUACGUAUUGAACCAUAUCUCUGGUUGGGGAUGUCAAAACGACGCCAGCCCCCAGACCGGCCAACAUUUUGGAGUUGUCGAAGUGCAUUAUCCAGUUGGAAUAUGCGCCGUACUCUUUAGGGAGUUCGGCUUCAGUCCAUUCGGCGACGAAGUCGGCCAAAACUUGCGACUUAAUAAAUCACCGUGGCUUAUAGGUUAAGUCGAACGGGAGGAGCUCAAUGGCCCAUUUGGCAAUCCGGCCCGUCACGUCGCGAUUGUUUAUAAUGUUGUUAAGAGGCACUUCGGAGGCUACUGUUAUCGAACACUCUUGAAAGUAGUGUUGCAGCUUCCGGGGUGCCAUGAACACCGCGUACGCUAUCUUUUGAUAAUGCAGGUACCGUGACUUGCAUGGAGUUAGGACAGUGGACACGUAGUAAACUGGUUUUUGAAGGUGGAACUUGUGUCCGUUCGUUUCUCGUUCGACAACAAGCACUGCGCUCACAACUUGAUGAGUUGCCGCGAUAUAUAAUAGCAUUGGUUCGCCCAUGUUGGGCGCGGCCAGGACCGGGUUUGUUGCCAAUAUGACUUUUAUUUCUUCGAGUCCGGCCGUGGCGGCAUCCGUCCACUCGAAGUGUUCGGUGCAUCGGAGGAGGCGAUAAAGAGGUAACGCCUUUUCUCCUAAACGGGAGAUAAAGCAGCUUAGAGCUGCCACGCAUCCCGUCAAUUUUUGUAUUUGUUUGAGGUCCUUUGGGAUAUCCAAGUGUGACAGAGCUCGGAUCUUGGCUGGGUUUGCUUCAAUUCCUCUAUCGGAUACAAUGAAGACCAAGAGCUUUCCGGCUGGUACGCCGAAAACGCAUUUUUCCGGGUUAAGCUUAAUGUCAUAUGUUCGGAGAUUAUUGAACGUGAGCCUCAAAUCGUUGCUACGUCUCGAGCUUGCGUUGGUUUUCCCCGAAGAGGAGAGGAUGAUGCAGCACAGUAGUGUAAGUAUUUCCCUUAGUUUUUGAGAACCAAGGUAUCAAUCCAGUAGGAGGUCACGCGCAAGUCCCUCGUACCUGCACAACACGAUAGCAACUCGCAACCAAUGCUUAGGGGUUGUCAAUCCCUUCACGGUCACUUACGAGAGUGAGAUCUGAUAGAGAUAAUAUUUUUGGUAUUUUUGAUAGAUAGAUGCAAAGUAAAAAAGUAAAGGCAAAGUAAAAACAAAGCAAGUAAAUAAAGUGAUAUAGAUUGAUAUGAUGAGAAUAGACCCGGGGGCCAUAGGUUUCACUAGUGGCUUCUCUCGAGAGCAUAAAUAUUCUACGGUGAGUGAACAAAUUACUGUUGAGCAAUUGACAGAAUUGAGCAUAGUUAUGAGUAUAUCUAGGCGAUGAUCAUGUAUAUAGGCAUCACGUCCAAAACAAGUAGAUCGAAACGAUUCUGCAUCUACUACUAUUACUCCACUCAUCGACCGCUAUCCAGCAUGCAUCUAGAGUAUUAAGUAAAAACAGAGUAACGCCGUAAGCAAGAUGACAUGAUGUAGAGGGAUAAAUUCAUGCAAUAUGAUAAAAACACCAUCUUGUUAUCGUCGAUGGCAACAAUACAAUACAUGCCUUGCAACUCUUUCUGACACUGAGUAAGGACACCGCAAGAUUGAACCCAAAGCCAUGCACUUCUCCCAUUGCAAGAACUACCAAUCUAGUUGGCCAAACCAAACGGAUAAUUCUAAGAGACUUGCAAAGAUAACUCAAUCAUACAUAAAAGAAUUUAGAGAAGAACCAAAUAUUUUCCAUAGAUAAUACUGGAUCAUAAACCCACAAUUCAUCGGUCUCAACAAACACACCGCAAAAAGAAGAUUACAUCGAAUAGAUCUCCACAAGAGAGGGGGAGAACAUUGUAUUGAGAUCCAAAAAGAGAGAACAAGCCAUCUAGCUACUAGCUAUGGACCCGAAGGUCUGAAGUAAACUACUCACACUUCAUCAGAGGGGCCAUGGUGAUGAUGUAGAAGCCCUCCGUGGUGGAUGCCCCCUCCGGUGGAGCUCCGGAACAGGCCCCAAGAUGGGAUCUCAUGGAUACAGAAGGUUGCGAAGGUGGAAUUAGGUUUUUGGCUCCCCUUUUGAUCAUACAGGGAUACAUAGGUAUAUAUAGGAGGAAGGAGUACGUCGGUGGAGCUUCGAGGGGCCCACGAGGAAGGGGGCGCGCCCAGGGGGGAGGGGCGUGCCCUCCACCCUCGUGACCGCCUCGUGGCUUUCUUGACUGAGGGUCCAAGUCUCCUGGAUCUUAUCUGAUGAGAAAAUCAUGUUCCCGAAGGUUUCAUUCCGUUUGGACUUCGAUUCUGUUUCUUCGAAACACCGAAAAAGGAAAAAACCAGCAAUUCUGGGCUGGGCCUCCGGUUAAUAGGUUAGUCCCAAAAAUAAUAUAAAAGUGGAAAAUAAAGCCCAAUAUAGUCCAAAACAAUAGAUAAAGUAGCAUGGAGCAAUCAAAAAUUAUAGAUACGUUGGAGUCAUAUCAAGCAUCCCCAAGCUUAAUUCCUACUCGUCCUCGAGUAGGUAAAUGAUAAAAAAGAAUUUUUGAUGCGGAGUGAUACUUUGGCAUAAUUUCAAUGUAAAUCUUCUUAAUUGUGAUAUGAAUAUUCAGAUCCGAAAGAUUCAAGACAAAAGUUCAUAUUGACAAAGAAAUAAUAAUACUUCAAGCAUACUAAUCAAAGCAAUCAUGUCUUCUCAAAAUAACAUGGCAAAAGAAAGUUCAUCCCUACAAAAUCAUAUAGUUAGGCUAUGCUUCAUUUUUGUCACACAAAGAUGUUCCCAACUUCUAUACCCCCGAUGACAAGCCAAGCAAUUGUUCAUACUUAAAUAAUCUCAAACUUUUUCAACCUUCACGCAAUACAUGAGCGUGAGCCAUGGAUAUAGCACUAUGGGUGGAAUAGAAUAUGAUGAUGGGGAUUGUGUGGAGAAGACAAAAACGAGAAAGUCUCACGUUGACGAGGCUAAUCAAUGGGCUAUGGAGAUGCCCAUCAAUUGAUGUCAACAUGAGGAGUAGGGAUUGCCAUGCAACGGAUGCACUAGAGCUAUGAAUGCUCAACAAAAGAAAACUAGUGGGUGUGCAUCCAACUUGCUUGCUCACGAAGACCUAGGGCAUUUGAGGAAGACCAUCGUAGGAAUAUACAAGCCAAGUUCUAUAAUGAAAAAUUCCCACUAGUAUGAAAAGACAACUUAUGAGACUCACUACAUGAGGAACAAGGUGCUAGUUUGAAGCACAAUAUAUGAGACUCACUACAUGAAGAACAAGGUGCUACUUUGAAGCAAAAGUGUGGAAAAAGAGAUAGUAGCAUUGCCCUUUAUUUAUUUAUUUUUUGGGCCUUUCCUUUUUUUUGGCCUUUCUCUUUUUUUUGGGCAAUGCUCUAAUAAUGAUGAUCAUCACACUUCUAUUGAUUACAACAUAAGGAUUACAACUCGAAACUUAGAACAAGAUAUGACUCUAUAUGAAUGCCUCCGACGGUGUAUCGGGAUGGUGCAAUGAAUCAAGAGUGGCAUCUUUGGAAAAUAAUGCAUGGUGGCUUUGCCACAAAUACGAUGUCAACUACAAGAUCAUGCAAUGGCAAUAUGACAAAAGUAAUGCAUUCACGAUGAUGAUGAUGGAAGUUGCAUGGCAAUAUAUCUCGAAAUGGCUAUGGAAAUGCCAUAAUAGGUAGGUAUGGUGGCUGUUUUGAGGAAGAUAUAAGGAGGUUUAUGUGUGAUAGAGCGUAUCAUAUCACGGGGUUUGGAUGCACAGGCGAAGUUUGUGCCAACUCUCAAGGUGAGAAAGGGGAAUGCACGGUACCGAAGAGGCUAGCAAUGGCGGAAAGGUAAAAGUGCGUAUAAUCCAUGGACUCAACAUUAGUCAAAAGAACUCAUAUACUUGUUGCAAAAAUUUAGAAGUCAUCAAAAAUUCAAAUACUACGAGCAUGCUCCUAGGGGGAUAGAUUGGUAGGAAAAGACCAUCGCUCAUCCCCGACCGCCACUCAUAAGGAUGCACAAGCCAGGUACACUUCAUGUUUCAAAUUUGUUACAUAACGUUAACCAUACGUGAAUGCUACGGGAUUUGCAAACUUCAACACAAGUAUUUCUCAAAUUCAUAAUCACCCAACUAGCACGACUAUGAUAUUAUCACCUCCAUAUCUCGAAACAAUUAUCAAGCAUCAAACUUAUCUUAGUAUUCAACGCACUCAAAAGAAAGUUUCACAUAUCUUGAACACCAAGUAUAUUAACAUUAAGCAAAUUACCAUGCUAAUGAUGACUCUCAAAAUAAUCUAAGUGAAGCAUGAGAGAUCAAGUUUCUUUAAACAAAUCCACCACCAUGCUCAAAAAGAUCUAAGUGAAGCACUAGAGCAAAAAUUAUCACGCUCAAAAGAUAUAAGUGAAGCACUAUGAGCAAAACUAUCAAGCUCAAAAGAUAUAAGUGAAGCACAUAGAGUAUUCUAGCAAAUUUCAAUUCAUGUAUGGCUCUCUCAAAAGGUGUGUACAGCAAGGAUUAUUGUGGUAAACUAACAAGCAAAGAUGCAAAUAAUACAAGACGCUCCAAGCAAAACACAUAUCAUGUUGGUGAAUAAAAAUAUAGCUCCAAGUAAAUUACUGAUGGAAGUGGACGAAAGAGGGGAUGCCUUCCGGGGCAUCCCCAAGCUUUGACUUUUUGGUGUCCUUGGAUUAUCUUGGGGGUGCCAUGGGCAUCCCCAAUCUUAGGCUCUUGCCACUCCUUGUUCCAUAAUCCAUCAAAAGAAUUCACCCAAAACUUGAAGACUUCACAACACAAAACUCAACAGAAAUCUUGUGAGCUCCAUUAGAGAAAGAAAACAGAAGACUACUUCAAGGUAAUGUAAUGAACUCAUUCUUUAUUUAUUUUUGUGUUAAACCUACUGUAUUCCAACUUCUCUAUGGUUUAUAAACUAAUUUACUAGCCAUAGAUUCAUCAAAAUAAGCAAACAACACACGAAAAACAGAAUCUGUCAAAAACAGAACAGUCUGUAGUAAUCUGUAACUAACGCAAACUUCUGGAACUCUAAAAAUUCUACCAAAAUAGGAAGUCCUGGACAAUUUGUUUAUUGAUCAUCAGCAAAAAGAAUCAACGCAAAAGCACUCUCCAGUAAACAAUGGCAGCUAAUCUUGUGAGCGCUAAAGUUUCUGUUUUUCAGCAGAAUCAAAUCAACUAUCAUCGUAGGUUAUCAUAUAGGUCCUACUUGGCACAAACACUAAUUGAAACAUAAAACCACAUCCAAACAGAAGGUAGAUGGAUUAUUUUUUCCUAAACUAAAGCAAAAACAAAAAACACAAAAUAAAAUUGGGUUGCCUCCCAACAAGCGCUAUCGUUUAACGCCCUUAGCUAGGCAUAAAAGCAAGGAUAGAUCUAGGAAUUGCCAUCUUUGGUAGGCAAUCCUUCAAUGAGGCAUCUACCUCCCUUAGAAUUUUCUUUCUUUCUAGAAAUUAUCAAACCUUUAGGCAUAAGAUCGAAAAAUUCAUUCGUAGCAAAUGGUUCCUUAAUGAUAGUAAAAAGAUCGGGAUGAAUACUUAUAGAUUUAAGAUCUGCAUUUUCCUUACUAGAAGAUUCACCCUUAUUUUUAGGAACAUACAUAAGCUUGCAAUUUUAGUAGGAGGACUAGUAGUAUUCCUUACGGAGGAAAAAGCGGUUCCCAAAUUGGUAAUGAUACCCUCAAGUUUAUCGAUACGAGUAGAGUCUAGGUUUAUUUUUUCAUUAACCAUGGGUUCCUUUUCCUUAAUAUUUUUCAAAGUCAUUCCUACCUUAGAUCCGUAUUGAGUAAUUUGAUUAUGAAUCUUUUUAUCUAAAUUUUCAAUGGAUUCAAUGGUAGCAACUUUAUUUUCAAUAAUUUCAAGCCUUUGCAUAACAUGUUCCAAGGUUAACAUAGUUCCAUUAACCAAAAGAGGAGGUGAGCCAAAUAAAUCUAUUAAAGCAUUAUAGGAAUCAAAAGUAUGGCUACCCAAGAAAUUCCCUCCAGUAAUGGUAUCAAGGAUAUAUCUAUACCAAGGAUUAGCACCUACAUAAAAAUUGCGAAAAAGAACUGAAGUAGAUUUUUUCCUGGUAGAUCUAUUUUGAGCAUUGCAAAUUGUAUACCAAGCAUCUUUUAGACUUUCUCCCUCCCUUUGUUUAAAAUUUAGCACUUCAUUCUCGGGAGAUAACGGAGAAGAAAAGGAAUUAGACAUGACGACAAGCAAGCAAACUAACACGAGAAAACAAAAGGACGAGGAAAAGGCAAACGGGAAAGAGAGGAGGAGAUUGGGAAAGAGAGGGCGAAUAAAAUGGCAAGGGUGAAGUGGGGGAGAGGAAAACGAGAGGCAAAUGGCAAAUAAUGUAAUGCGAGAGAUAGGGAUUGUGAUGGGUACUUGGUAUGUUGACUUUUGCGUAAGCCUCCACGGCAACGGCGCCAAAAAUUCUUCUUGCUAUGUCUCGAGCUUGCGUUGGUUUUCCCUGAAGAGGAGAGGAUGAUGCAGCACAGUAGCAUAAGUAUUUCCCUCAGUUUUUGAGAACAAGGUAUCAAUCCAGUAGGAGGUCACGCGCAAGUCCCUCGUACCUGCACAACACGAUAGCAACUCACAACCAAUGAUUAGGGGUUGUCAAUCCCUUCACGGUCACUUACGAGAGUGAGAUCUGAUAGAGAUAAUAUUUUUGGUAUUUUUGAUAGAUAGAUGCAAAGUAAAAAGUAAAGGUAAAGUAAAAACAUAGCAAGUAAAUAAACUGAUAUGGAUUGAUAUGAUGAGAAUAGACCCGGGGGCCAUAGGUUUCACUAGUGGCUUCUCUCGAGAGCAUAAGUAUUCUACGGUGGGUGAACGAAUUACUGUUGAGCAAUUGACAGAAUUGAGCAUAGUUAUGAGUAUAUCUAGGCAAUGAUCAUGUAUAUAGGCAUCACGUCCGAGACAAGUAGAUCGAAACGAUUCUGCAUCUACUACUAUUACUCCACUCAUUGACCGCUAUCCAGCAUGCAUCUAGAGUAUUAAGUAAAAACAGAGUAACGCCUUAAGCAAGAUGACAUGAUGUAGAGGGAUAAAUUCAUGCAAUAUGAUAAAAACCUCAUCUUGUUAUCCUCGAUGGCAACAAUACAAUACGUGCCUUGCAAAUCUUUCUGUCACUGAGUAAGGACACCGCAAGAUUGCACCCAAAGCCAUGCACUUCUCCCAUUGCAAGAACUACCAAUCUAGUUGGCCAAACCAAACGGAUAAUUCGAAGAGACUUGCAAAGAUAACUCAAUCAUACAUAAAAGAAUUCAGAGAAGAAUCAAAUAUUUUCCAUAGAUAAUACUGGAUCAUAAACCCACAAUUCAUCGGUCUCAACAAACACACCGCAAAAACAAGAUUACAUCGAAUAGAUCUCCACAAGAGAGGGGGAGAACAUUGUAUUGAGAUCCAAAAAGAGAGAAGAAGCCAUCUAGCUACUAGCUAUGGACUCGAAGGUCUGAAGUAAACUACUCACACUUCAUCGGGGGGGCCAUGGUGAUGAUGUAGAAGCCCUCCAUGGUGGAUGCCCCCUCCGGCGGAGCUCCAUAACAGGCCCCAAGAUGGGAUCUCGUGGAUACAGAAGGUUGCGGCGGUGGAAUUAGGUUUUUGGCUCCCCUUUUGAUCAUACGGGGAUAUGUAGGUAUAUAUAGGAGGAAGGAGUACGUCGGUGGAGCUCCGAGGGGCCCACGAGGUAGGGGGCGUGCCCAGGGGAGGGGCGCACCCUCCACCCUCGUGACCGCCUAGUGGCUUUCUUGAAGGAUGGUCCAAGUCUCCUGGAUCUUAUCUGAUGAGAAAAUCAUGUUCCCAAAGGUUUCAUUCCGUUUGGACUUCGUUUGAUAUUCUGUUUCUUCGAAACACUGAAAAAGGCAAAAAACAGCAAUUCUGGGCUGGGCCUCCGGUUAAUAGGUUAGUCCCAAAAAUAAUAUAAAAGUGAAAAAUAAAGCCCAAUAUAGUCCAAAGCAGUAGAUAAAGUAGCAUGGAGCAAUAAAAAAUUAUAGAUACGUUGGAGACGUAUCAAUCGUCUACUAGAGUUUCGACGUGCUUGGUUUUGACGACCACAUCGUCUACGUAUGCCUCCACUGUUUUUCCGAUCUGGUUUGCCAGACAAGUCUGAAUCAUGUGCUGAUAUGUUGCGCCGGCGUUUUUGAGCCCAAAGGGCAUUGUGUUGAAGCAGAAUGGGUCGUAUGGGGUGAUGAAUGUCGUUGCGGCCUGAUCGGUCUCUGCCAUCUUAAUUUGGUGGUAGUCAGAGUGGGAAGGGAUCCUUUUGGCAAGCCUUGUUGAGGUCCUUGAAAUCGACGCAUAGGCGCCAGGAUUUGUCCUUCUUUGGUACCAUCACCAGGUUUGCUAGCCAGUCCGGAUGUUUUAUAUCUAUGAUGAAUCCGGCCUCCAAUAAUUUGGCUAGCUCCUCUCCCAUGGCCUGUGUCUUGGGUUCGGAGAAACGCCGAAGAGCCUGUUUGACUGGCUUGAAUCUUUUUAGGAUGUUUAGGCUGUGCUCGGCCAGCCGGCGUGGGAUUCCUGGCAUGUCUGAAGGGUGCCAGGAAAAAUGUCCCAAUUUUUGCGUAGGAAUUCUCGUAGUGCGGCAUCUACAUCAGGGUUUAAUUGUGCCCUGAUGGAGGCCGUUUUUGUAGGGUCUGUUGGAUGGACUUGGAAUUUGACUAUUUCGUCCGCUGGUUUGAAAGAGGUGGACUUGGAUCUCUUAUCGAGUAUCACGUCGUCCCUAUUUACUGUGGAGCACAGGGCAGUGAGUUCUUCGGCCGCUAGGGCUUCGGAUAGUGCCUCAAGGGCCAGUGCAGCUGUCUUAUUUUCGGCGCGGAGUGUUAUGUCCAGGUCACUAGCAAGAGCGAUAAUUCCAUUGGGCCCGGGCAUUUUGAGCUUCAUGUACCCGUAAUGGGGUAUAGCUUGAAAAAUUGUGAAUGCCUCUCGCCCUAAUAGAGCGUGACAUCCGGUGCUGAACGGGGCCACUUGAAACGUGACCUCCUCGGACCUGUAAUUAUCCGGCGUGCCGAAUACCACAUCCAGUGUGAUUUUUCCUGUACAACAUGCUUCCCGACUGGGGAUUAUUCCUCUAAAGGUUGUGCUGCUUCACUCAAUGCGGCUCCUGUCUAUUUCCAUUUUUCGGAGGGUUUCCUCGUAAAUGAGGUUCAAUCCGCUGCCACCGUCCAUGAGUACCUUUGUGAGGCGAAAGCCGUCCACUAUUGGACUGAGGACCAGUGCGGCUGGUGCUCGGGCUGUUCGGAAUUUAGGUUCGUCACUGGCAUUAAAGGUAAUAGCCGUGUCACUCCAUGGGUUUAUUGUUGCUACUUGGUAGACUUCGGCAAGGCUGCGGAGUGUCCGUUUCCGCAUAUUAUUUGAUGCGAACGUCUCGGAGACUAUUAAUACCGUACUGGUAUCCUUGGGCUGAUGCUCUGGAGCUAGAAGCUCUUCGCCACUUUUGGCCACCUGCCGUAGUAUCCAACAUGCUCUAAGGCUAUGAGUUGGAGUGGCACCCUCUGUACUAUGAAUUUUGCAGGGUCCAUUGAGCCAUCCCUCCAGUACGGUUCCAUGCCCUAUAGAGGGUUUUUGCUUUUUGGUAUUUAACCCAGGUGCCUGGCGAUGAUGCACCCUUUUAUUUUGGACUGGGGUUGUAUUGAGGGCCGGAUUGUCCCAAAAAUUGAUUUCGGUUUUCCACGCGCUUUCCAUCUCACAGUACUUUCGUACUAUGGAUGCCAAGUCAGCGAAGCGUGUAAUUUCACGAUGACUUACGGCGUUGGGGAUUCCCUUGUCCGUGCAAUUAUUGCGGAAGAAUGUAAUUGCGUCCUUCUCUAGACAGUCCUUUAUCCUGUUCAUAACCAAGAGGAAUCUGGCCUAGUAGUGGUGUACUGUUUCUGCGGGCUCUUGCCGGAUUUGGGAUAGAUCGCUUGUGUUUGGGUGGGUGGGUGGAACUAAAUCCGGAACCCCGUCCAAUCUCAGGCUCAGGGGCCAAGAAGUUUCCAGACUCAGAAGCUUGGGUUCUUGGAUGUUGUCCAAUGCAUCUAGACUGCUGCCUGACUUUAGGUUCAGGGCUUGAGUUAUGUCCUCCCCUCCGUGGGAAUCCGGCAUGGAGGGAUCGGGAAUCCGGACAUAGCUAGUCCUUAAAAUCGAGGAAGGGUCGCCGUAUUGCUCCUUAACCACGGCAAUGUGGUGGGUAACCUGGGGAGAAUUGAUCUCUCCCAGAUCGGCUUUAGGCCCAAUCUGAUCGUAGUCUGUAGCGACUCUCAGGGCCGCGAUGCGAUCCAAGAGCUCGUUUACGGAAGAGAGCUCCAUCGGAUCUAACUGCUCGACGAGUUCCGAGCUAACGUGAAGAUUGCUUUUGAUAACCCGAGAAGUCAUCAUCGGUGCGGUGGCCGGAAAGACGGUCAUAAGGAAACUGCCUAGCCAGAGAGUUUGGCCGAUAGCCAAAGCUCCUUUAGCAACAGUGCCGUCUUUAAAGACGGGAUGAGGCAUCCUUCCGGUUGCCGACGACACAGAGGAACUCUCAAUGAAAGCACCAAUGUCGGUGUCAAAACCGGCGGAUCUCAGGUAGAGGGUCCCGAACUGUGCAUCUAGGUGGAUGGUAACAGGAGACAAGGGACACGAUGUUUUUACCCAGGUUCGGGCCCUCUCGAUGGAGGUAAAACCCUACUCCUGCUUGAUUAAUAUUGAUGAUAUGGGUAGUACAAGAGUAGAUCUACCACGAGAUCAGAGAGGCUAAACCCUAGAAGCUAUCCUAUGGUAUGAUUGUUGUUCGUCCUACGGACUAAAACCCUCUGGUUUAAAUAGGCACCGAAGAGGGUUAGGGUUACACAGAGUCGGUUACAAUGGUAGGAGAUCUACAUAUCCGUAUCGCCAAGCUUGCCUUCCACGCCAAGGAAAGUCCCAUCCGGACACGGGACGAAGUCUUCAAUCUUGUAUCUUCAUAGUCCAGGAGUCCGGCCAAAGGUGAUAGUUCGGCUAUCCGGACACCCCCUAAUCCAGGAUUGUGAAGAGCUCGAGAAUUGUCUUGUUCAUCCCUUGCAUAUUAUAGUUCAUCACGAAGCUCUUGUAGCUUGGUGGCAGUGAUUGAAGAAUUCUGUCAAUGACACUAUCAUCCGGAAGAUUAACUCCCAGUGGAAUCAAGUGAUUGUUAUACUCAGACAUUUUGAGUAUAUGUUCACUGACAGAACUAUUCUCCUCCAUCUUGCAGCUAUAGAACUUAUUGGAGGCUUCAUAUCUCUCAAUCCGGGCAUUUGCUUGAAAUAUUAACUUCAACUCCUGGAACAUCUCAUAUGCUCCAUGAUGUUCAAAACGUCAUUGAAGUCCCGGUUCUAAGCCAUGAAGCAUGGCACACUGAACUAUAGAGUAGUCAUCAGCUUUGCUCUGCCAGACGUUCUUGACAUCGUCAGUUGCAUCUGCAGCAGGCCUGGCACCCAGUGUGCUUCCAGGACGUAAUUCUUCUGUGCAGCAAUGAGGAUAAUCCUCAAGUUACGGACCCAGUCCGUGUAAUUGCUACCAUCAUCUUUCAACUUUGCUUUCUCAAGGAACGCAUUAAAAUUCAACGGAACAACAGCACGAGCCAUCUAUCUACAACAACAUAGACAUGCAAAAAUACUAUCAGGUACUAAGUUCAUGAUAAAUUUAAGUUUAAUUAAUCAUAUUACUUAAGAACUCCCACUUAGAUAGACAUCCCUCUAAUCAUUCUAAGUGAUCACGUGAUCCAAAUCAACUAAACCAUAACCGAUCAUCACGUGAAAUGGAGUAGUUUUCAAUGGUGAACAUCAAUAUGUUGAUCAUAUCUACUAUAUGAUUCACGCUCGACCUUUCGGUCUUAGUGUUCCAAGGCCAUAUCUACAUACUAGCUUCGUCAAGUUUAACCUGAGUAUUCUGCGUGUGCAAAACUGGCUUGCACCCAUUAUAGAUGGACUUAGAGCUUAUCACACCCGAUCAUCACGUGGUGUCUGGGCACGACGAACUUUGGCAACGGUGCAUACUCAGGGAGAACACUUUUAUCUUGAAAUUUAGUGAGAGAUCAUCUUAUAAUGCUACCGUCAAUCAAAGCAAGAUAAGAUGCAUAAAAGAUAAACAUCACAUGGAAUCAAUAUAAGUUAUAUGAUAUGGCCAUCAUCAUCUUGUGCUUGUGAUCUCCAUCUCUAAAGCACCGUCAUGAUCACCAUCGUCACCGGCGCGACACCUUGAUAUCCAUCGUAGCAUUGUUGUCGUCUCGCCACCUAUUGCUUCUACAACUAUCGCUACCACUUAGUGAUAAAGUAAAGCAAUUACAGGGCGAUUGUAUUGCAUACAAUAAAGCGACAACCAUAUGGCUCCUGCCAGUUGCCGAUAACUCGGUUACAAAACAUUAUCAUCUCAUACAAUAAAAAUAACAUCAUACCUUGACCAUAUCACAUCACAACAUGCCCUGCAAAAAUAAGUUAGACGUCCUCUACUCUGUUGUUGCAAGUUUUACGUGGCUGCUACAGGCUGAGCAAGAACCGUUCUUACCUACGCAUCACAACCACAACGAUAGUUUGUCAAGUUAGUGAUGUUUUAACCUUCUCAAGGACCAGGCGUAGGCACACUCGGUUGAACUAAAGUUGGAGAAACUGACACCCGCUAGUCACCUGUGUGCAAAGCACGGCGGUAAAACUAGUCUCACGUAAGCGUACGCGUAAUGUCGGUCCGGGCCGCUUCAUCCAACAGUACCGCCGAACCAAAGUAUGACAUGCUGGUAAGUAGUAUGACUUGUAUCACCCACAACUCACUUGUGUUCUACUCGUGCAUAUAACAUCUAUGCAUAAAACCUGGCUUAGAUGCCACUAUUGGGGAACGCAGUAAUUUCAAAAUUUUCCUACGCACACGCAAGAUCAUGGUGAUGCAUAGCAACGAGAGGGGAGAGUGUUGUCCAUGUACCCUCAUAGACCGAAAGCGGAAGCGUUAGCACAAGCGGUUGAUGUAGUCGUACGUCUUCAUGAUCCGACCAAUCACGUACCGAACGCAUGGCACCUCCGAGUUCAGCACACGUUCAGCUCGAUGACAUCCCUCGAACUCCGAUCCAGCCGAGCUUUGAGGGAGAGUUCUGUCAGUAUGACAGCGUGGUGAUGAUGAUGAUGUUCUACCGAUGCAGGGCUUCGCCUAAGCACCUCGACGAUAUUAUCGAGGUGGAUUAUGGUGGAGGGGGGCACCGCACACAGCUAAGAGAUCCAAGGGAUCAAUUGUUCUGUCUCAAGGGGGUGCCUCCCACCCCGUAUAUAACGAGUGGAGGAGGGGGAGGUGGCCGGCCACCCUUGGCGCGCCCCAUGAGGAGUCCUACUCCGACCGGGAGUAGGACUCCCCCCUUCCAUGUUGGAGUAGGAGAGGAUAGGGAAGGACAGAGAGAGGGGAAAGGAAAGGGGGGGCGCCGCCCCCCUCCUUGUCCAAUUUGGACCUCAGGGGGAGGGGCGCACGGCUGCCCCUUGUCCGCCUCUCCUCUUCCAACACUUGGGCCAAUAAGGCCCAAUAACCUCCGGGGGGUUCCGGUAACCCCCGGGUACUCCGGUAUAUAUCCGAUAACCCCCGGAACCAUUCCGGUGUCCGAACAUAGUCGUCCAAUAUAUCAAUCUUCAUGUCUCGACCAUUUCGAGACUCCUCGUCAUGUCUGUGAUCACAUCAGGGUCUCCGAACUAUCUUCGGUACAUCAAAAUACAUAAACUCAUAAUAUAACCGUCAUCGAACUUUAAUCGUGCGGACCCUACGGGUUCGAGAACUAUGUAGACAUGACCGAGACACGUCUCUAGUUAAUAACCAAUAGCGGAACCUGGAUGCUCAUAUUGGCUCCUACAUAUUCUAUGAAGAUCUUUAUCGGUCAAACCGCAUAACAACAUACGUUUUUCCCUUUGUCAUCGGUAUGUUACUUGCCCGAGAUUCGAUCGUCGGUAUCUCGAUACCUAGUUCAAUCUCGUUACCGGCAAGUCUCUUUACUCGUUACGUAAUGCAUCAUCCUGUAACUAACUCAUUAGGUACAUUGCUUGCAAGGCUUAUAGUGAUGUGCAUUACCGAGAGGGGCCAGAGAUACCUCUCUAACAAUCGGAGUGACAAAUCCUAAUCUCGAAAUACGUCAACUCAACAAGUACCUUCGGUGACACCUGUAGAGAACCUUUAUAAUCAUCCAGUUACGUUGUGAUGUUUGUUAGCACACAAAGUGUUCCUCCGGUAAGCGGGAGUUACAUAAUCUCAUAGUCAUAGGAACAUGUAUAAGUCAUGAAGAAAGCAAUAGCAACAUACUAAACGAUCAAGUGCUAAGCUAACGGAAUGGGUCAAGUCAAUCACAUCAUUGUCCUAAUGAUGUGAUCCCGUUAAUCAAAUGACAACUCUUUGUCCAUCACUAGGAAAGAUAAUCAUCUUUAAUUAACGAACUAGUCAAGUAGAGGCAUACUAGUGACACUCAGUUUGUCUAUGUAUUCACACAUGUAUUAUGUUUCUGGGUAAUACAAUUCUAGCAUGAAUAAUAAACAUUUAUCAUGAUAUGAGGAAAUAAAUAAUAACUUUAUUAUUGCCUCUAGGGCAUAUUUCCUUCAGUUGCAUGGUAGUUAUUUUGAUGCUAGUAUCAUGUCAUGCUAUGAGUAGUGUGCUAGUUGUGAUAUUAUGCUCGUCAGUACGCCAUGCUCAUCUGGAUAAAUGGUUAAAUGUUGUUGUUAUGCUUGUUGAUUUUGAUGCAUCACCAUGCUUAUGUUGAUAUCAUGUUCAUGCAUUGUAGUUGCAUCAUGUUAUUUUAUCAUGGCUCAGCAUAUUGCAUUCAAGUUUAACCGGAUUAAACUGAACUUGAACAAUUGUUCGCUGAGUCAUGGUGCCACCAUAUCAAUCUGACUAGUGCAACCACGCUUACCUUAUGGGAAGGUCCUAGCUGGGUCUAUUGUCAUGCCUCUCACCGGUGCCUCCCGCGAGGGAAGGUUAUGCGCGGGUGCUACCUUGGCCAGGUAGGACGGCAUAAGCCUUGUGUGCCCAUUGUUGAGUAUGGAUCCUUGGCCCCGUUUGGGACUGUGUUGCCACGACGGUGGCCGUUGGUGCCUUUGGUAGGAACGGGGCCACCCAGGACUUAGCCCAAAGGGGAGUUGGUCGGAGUGGCCGGGAGAGUGGCAUGGCAGUAGGACAGUUUCGUCGGAACGCUUUGGUCCACCCGAAUGGGAGUGUGAGGCCAGGGUUCCGUGGUGUGGGUACUGUGUGCUAACCUCUAUAGAGAGUGUGUGUUUAAUCUAUUGAUAGCCGCACCCGCGGAUAUGGGCCCAGUUCGUAGUUGGUCACACUGUGGGUCAAUAGUAAACAUAAUGAUGUGCUUAAUAACAACCCUGGUUCGAUGAUGAAAGAAGUUGGUUGAUAUUUAUGUGAUUGUGAGAGGAUCAUUGCGGUAUCAUGAAUACCAACUUGUUGGAUAUGUGCGAUGUUAUGCGAAAGUCAAGGGUAACGGUCAAGCUCCUUGUGGUCAUGAAUGAUUACUACGGUAUUGUUAAUACCAAGCUUGAUUGGAUCCUGAGAUGAUCGUGUGAGGUCCGUGAUGGUAAGUGUGUGCAGGUGAUGGUUACGAUGUAACCCGAGCAGAGUAAGAUGGUGCAUGAUAGUGUCAUCAUGUUGCAUGCUAGUUUCAUCAUGUUUAUAUGUUCAUGCCAUGCUUAUAUUGUGCUAGUUGUAUCAUGUUAUUCAUGCCAUGUUGUUCUGAUGAUAUUAUGUUAAUCCUUGUUAACCUGUUAUUGCCAUGCUAUUGUUUGUCUUGAUUGCUUUGGUUGCUGUGAGCUUGCAAGUACAUACAAUGUACUGACCUGGCGUGUCAUGCCAGUUUGCAGGUCAUGCCGGAUAUGAUUGCUUGUUUGCGAGCUAGGAUAAGCGUUCCAGCUAGAGUCCCUAUGGAGUGGAGUUCACCACCGCCGUCAUUGUUCCACUGCUAGAGUCAUUCCGCUGCGUCGAGUUGUUCUGCUGCUUGCAUGGAGCAACUGUGGCAGGCGUAGUGUCGCCGUGCCGAUGUAACCCCCUUGUACCCAUAUAGGUUGUAAUAAAGAGCUGGUUUGUUCUAUGCUAAGCAUUGUCGUAUUCCAGAAGACUUCUCCUUGAUCUCUGGACUGGAAUACGGAGCGUUCUGGUUUCUCUGAGCCGGUGUGCCACAAUUACCGCGUUCCCCAAUAGUGGCAUCCGAGCCAGGUCUAUGCGUAGAUGUUAUAUGCACGAGUAGAACACAAAGUGUUGUGGGCGAUAAUAGGCAUACUGCUUAUCAGCAUGUCAUACUUUGAUUCGGCGGUAUUGUUGGAUGAAGCGGCUCAGACCGACAUUAUGCGUACGCUUAUGCGAGACUGGUUCUACCGACGUGCUUUGCACAUAGGUGGCUGGUGGGUAUCUGUUUCUCCAAAUUUAGUUGAAUCGAGUGUGGCUACGCUCGGUCCUUGUUGAAGGUUAAAACAACACACUUGACAAAAAAUCAUUGUGGUUUUGAUGCGUAGGUAAGAACGGUUCUUGCUAGAAGCCCGUAGCAGCCACGUAAAACUUGCAACAACAAAGUAGAGGACGUCUAACUUGUUUUUGCAGGGCUUGCUAUGAUGUGAUAUGGUCAAGCAUGAUGUGAUAUAAAUUGUUGUAUGAGAUGAUCAUGUUUUGUAACAAAGUUAUCGGCAACUGGCAGGAGCCAUAUGGUUGUCGCUUUAUUGUAUGCAGUACAAUCACCAUGUAAUUGUUUUACUUUAUCACUAAGCAGUAGCAAUAGUCGUAGUAAUAAUAGGUGGUGAGACGACAAUGAUGCUACGAUGGAGAUCAAGGUGUCACGCCGGUGACGUUGGAGAUCAUGACGAUGCUUCGGUGAUGGAGAUCAUGAGCACAAGAUGAUGAUGGCCAUAUCAUGUCACAUGUUUUGAUUGCAUGUGAUGUUUAUCCUUUAUGCAUCUUAUUUUGCUUAGAACGUCGGUAGCAUUAUAAGAUGAUCCCUUACUAAAUUUCAAGGUACAAGUGUUCUUCCUAAGUAUGCACCGUUGCUACAGUUCGUCGUGCCGAGACACCACGUGAUGAUCGGGUGUGAUAAGCUCUAUGUUCACAUACAAUGGGUGCAAGCUAGUUUUGCACACGCGGAAUACUCGGGUUAAACUUGACGAGCCUAACAUAUGCAGAUAUGGCCUCAAAACACUGAGACCGAAAGGUCGAGUGUGAAUCAUAUAGUAGAUAUGAUCAACAUAGUGAUGUUCACCAUUGAAAACUACUCCAUCUCACGUGAUGAUCGGACAUGGUUUAGUUGAUUUGGAUCACGUGAUUGAUGAAGCCAUGUACUUAGGGUAGGGUCAUGGACCUGUCCAAGAUACCCUCCCCAAGGACAUCUCUAGAAGAAACCACCUUUCAGUCGGCCUGGAAGGGUUCCACUCGACGGACUCGAAGACACUCGACCAUGAAUCCAACCACUCGACCGCCAGGAGACCUAAAGUCACUCUGCACGCAAACGGUCUAUCAUUAAGUAGCUUUUAUGGUCAUCAUAGCACUUUAUUUGUGGCGUUACCAGAAACGCCCGACCUUAAUGUACCUUAAACCCUGCAUAACUGAGGGCCGGAGGGGUCUGGCGGACUCUAUAUAAGCCACCCCCCUCCUCAGUGUAAAGGGUUCGCACCCCUGUAACUCAUAUACGCAUAAUCCAGUCGAUCGCCUCCGGGCUCCAAGACGUAGGGUUGUUACUUCCUCCGAGAAGGGCCUGAACUCGUAAAUCUCUUGCGUAUACAACUACUCCAUAGCUAGGACCUUGCCUCUCCAUUCGUACCCCCUACACUAUUGUCAUACUUAGAACUACAACAGUUGGCGCCCACCUUGGGGCAGGUGUCUUAGCGACUUAUUGGAGAAGUUGCGAUUUUUUCGAUCUUCUUCAUCAUGGUUUCAGGCGGAGUUUUGGUCGAGGGCCGCGAGAUCCGUCUCGGCGCGCUCACAUUCAUCGCCGACGAAUCCGCUUGGCUUCAGGAGGCUCCACUCGACAUCGAUGCACUCCCCGUCCGCGGGGCAAUGCACUUUCGCGCAUGCGUCCGCGAUGUCCUCCUGCGGCAACCGUCGACCUAGUAUCGGUCGACCCCUGUGUCAUCCUCCCUCCCUGUCUCCUGCCGACGCAAGCGCUCCGGUCGGUCGAGGCUUCAGCAGUGGGUGAGGCACGCGGUGGCUCGCCAGUCGACCACCUCCCAAGUCGCGGCGAUCGAGCCCGACGAAUCUCUCUACAGCCUGUUCGACCUGUCGACUUGCUCCGUAGAGACUGCAUCCGAGUGCGGCAGCAGUGAUCCAGCGGCGGAGGUCCUGAUGGUCAAUGGACCGCGCAGUCCUCCCGGCUUUCCCCACGCCGACAGAGGCGACGGCGGAGGCGAUCCGGUGCAGGUCCGCGAAGAGUAUCAACCCGAGCCUCUCACUUCACUACAGAGGGAAGAACUUUGCCGCCGGAACGUGGAUGCGCUACACACUCCUAUCGUUUGAGGAACCCCCGAGGCUCAUGCCUUAGAGGACGCGCGCUUGGCCAACUUGGCUGAGCGCAGUCGACUGGAAAACCUCCAGCGAGCACUCGACGAGCAUGCGCGGCAACGGGUUCCAGACUCCAGUCGACGUCAACUCUUUCCACCACCGACUCAGGUAUAUCGAACUCCGAUUCAGAAUCUAGCAGCUGCAGCUCAUAUAGCAGAGUCGAUUCAGCCUUCCCAGUCAGAGGCUGGCAGAGGCUUGUUACAGAUCAGAGCAUUACACCGAGAAGCAGGAGAUCAGAAUUCAGCUGUAUCACAGUCACGGAACAGGAUCCACAGCAGAUCCGUCGCUGCAAAUACAGUCCAGUCGGCCCAUAGCCCAAGAUCGCCCCCGAGGCAUGAGGCACGUGGAGACCGGCAUGAUCAGUACGAGAACCGGGAGCAGUACGAUGACCGACUCGAUCACGAUGAUCGACGUCGAGUGCCCACUGUCGGAGUAAUGGGCGACGGGUACCCCGAAGACGGCAAGACAAUUGUUCAAGACAUCGGGGCUAGAAAAGCCCCUCAGUCCGACUGCCCGGCCGCUCCUGCCAGCUCCCCGUCCGACUGCCCUGCCCGGCCGGCUGCCGGCUGCCGAUUGUGCCAACCAGUCGGCUGCCGACUGCGCCAACCAGCCGGCUGCCGACUGCAGCCCGACGAGACACCGGCGAGACAGAUGUACCCAAGCACUAUUCACGUGUCACCCCAACCAUCAUGUACAUUGACACUUGUCCCUGUGCACUAUUUAUGAAGUGACCCAAGGGACAAGGAUGACAUGCACCAUGCCUUACCCAUGCCCACUACGUAGCUUACAUACUAAGCUAGCCACACUACAUAUAGCAUCCAUCCAUCCACCACACACGCUACAUGCACUUGGCCGGCCACAAUGGAUCCCUGGACAAGCACUCCACCACGCAUGCAUGAUAGCUAGCACACACAUAUGAGACAUAUACAAGGCCAGAUGCCUAUGGCACUGACCUCAGAUACAACUCCAGGAGCACUCUGUAUCAGAUAUACUCAGACAUGCAGGAGUAGGGGUGUUAUCUCUCCGGAGAGCCCCGAACCUGGGUAAACUAGCGCGUGCUACUCGCAUACCCGUCCCUGGAUAUUCCGGCAGCAGUCUUGCCCUCACACGAAGCCACCUUGUGGCAUAUGUCGUCUUGCAACACCCCCCGUGAGAUGCGCCCACCGUGGGGCGGUACUAUGCUACCGCGCUCCUGCUAGUUUCGCAGUCCGGGCAGGACCAUCUUCGUCUCCACCGCCGCGGUGUCGCGCCGUCUCUCCGGUAGCGCUCGGGGGCUCGACUUCGACACCCCCCCCCCCCGAGCGGCCGCGCGGGACGGCGCGUCCUCGUUGUCAGCCUUGCCGCCUUCUUCACCGCCACCGUUGCGACGCCGGCCGUCCGUCCGCGCGCGCCUGCGCGCGGGGCCUCGCUUCGGUCGGCCGUGUCCGUCCGCGCGCUGCUCGCGUCUGCUCCCCUCUACGUUUGUGUAGCUCCGGCCGUAGCACACGGUCGCUCCUCCAUACACGCUAGCCACCAAGCUGGUGAAACCAUUUCUCAAACCAUUGCUGAUACUAGCGAUACACAAGCCAGAUAAUCCUCUUACCAUAGUCGUACACUUCCUAGACUAUGGACAGACAAUGACCAUAUAUUAGUCAGACAAUUGACUAGUACGCAGGCUGCUCCAUCCGCGGCCAUGCGCCAGCUCCACCACGGCUGCCCGGCGUACAGCCCGCCCCCGCCCGCUGCUUCAGCCUCGCUGCUUCCUUCCCGCGGCCGCGCGCUGCUCCAGCCCCCUGCGCGCUGGGCUGCUGCUCCGUGCUGCUCCAGCUCCGCCCAGCUCCCUCGCGUGCCUCGACGGCUCCAACCUCGCGCCGCCCGGCUGCUCUGCCGCCCGUCGCGGGCUUCCCCGUGCCCGUCGGAGGAUGGCCUCACCUCCUUCGACCUCCGGGUCGCCCGCUCCGCGCCGGCUGCCGCCCCGGCGGCCUUCUCCACCCGUCGCCCGCGCCGUUCCGGCCGCGGCCCCGUCCCGGCCUCCCGCGCCGACUGCCGGGUCAUGGUGCUUCGGCCGGGUGCUCUCCGUGCCUGGCCGCCUCCGCCUCCAACAGCCCGCGCGCUCGCGCCCCGAGCUCGGCCUCCAAGUCGCCGGCGCCACUCGGCCCCACUUCCGGCCUCUCCGCGCCGACUCCACCCUGCCGGAUGCCCUGCGCUGGGUCCUCUGUGCCCGCUCCGGCUCCCCGGUGCCCGGCUGGGUCCGAACUCGCGCCUCCGUCCACUCCGCACACAGCGCCGACUCCGCCUCCGCUCCGGCCGGCUCCUGCGCUCGCCGGCUUCCCACAACCCGGCUGGCCGGCUCCCGUGCGCCGGCUUCCCCGGCAUUCCGGACUCCUCCGUCCGUGUCGCCCUUGCCGACUGCUGCUCCGCGCCUGCAUCGCGCUCAGCCGCUUACCCGGACGGCUGGCUCCGCCCUGCACCCGGCUCGGCCUCCCCUGCUGCCGGCUGUUGCACUCUAGGUCCAGCAGCCUGCUGCGGCCGAGUGCCCGAAGAGAAAAGCACAGGCCGGCUGCAAAGAAAAUAAAGGGAAGAGGUCCGACUGACCAAGUCAACAGCCGGCUUGCUGCAAAAAAAAGAGACAGAGAGAGAAAGAGGCCGGCUGGGAGAAAAAGAAAAAGGGCCGACUGCCCGCUGUGGCCGGCUGCUCGUGGAAAGGAAAAGAGGUCCGACUGACCAAGUCAACAGCCGGCUGACGAAAAAAAAA